AUGGAGCAGACACCUUCUCCCCACACCUGGAGCAAUCAGUUACACCGCUUUGAUUGUGGAUAAGCUGCUCUUGAUUCAACAUAAGAAGCAGGGGAUGUUGGUGCCCAUUAAACAAGGUAAAUGGAUGUUCAUGAUUUGUACUCUUAAUAACUGGUGGUGGUGAUUGCGAUGCACAUUCAAUGUGAACAACAAACUGACAAGGAGAACAACCAUAAACAAAUCCUCUCCGCCUUAUUCCUAGGCAUAUCUGGCAAGGGAGCCGUUCGGAAUUAAAUUGUAGGACAAGAGGAUGCUCGCGAUGGCACUCAUGAUUCAGUUUGAAAGGAAGCUCAGCGCAUUUCUCAUGUAAAUUAAAUCCACACUCAGGAGAAAAGUGUGUAUAAUUUGCUAAUGGUUCCCAACACCCAAAGCACUUACUAACAUUUUCGAGUUCUUCAUCACGAUUUUCAGUGGGAAUCAAUGGAUCUCGGAGGGCAACAUGGUCAAGCUCUUUCAAAUUAUUCUCAGCAACAUUAAAUGUAAACAAAGCACAUUUAAUAUGAAAGUCCAAUCCGCAAGAGCAGUGAUAAAUGAAUUUCUCACAUGUUUUAUCACAGAAAUCACAAACACACCUUGUGUAAGAAGAUGGUGGCUCUUGCAGAAGAACAAGAGGAUGAUGAGGAUGAAAAGGAUGUUUAAGCUCCAAAGGUGCGUCGGCACAAGCCUUGUGAAGAUAAAACCCACAGUGCUCCACACAGCAAAAACAUGGAACAGACACCUCCUCCCCGCACCUGGAGCAAUGAGUUACACCACUUUGAUUGUGGAUCAGCUGGUCUUGAUUCAAGAUAAGAAGCAGGGGAUGUUGGUGGCCAUAAUUGUUAGACUCCUCCAUUUCUCCUUCGCCAAGCAAUAUAAAUAAAGGAAAAAGCUUGAUUUUGGAAGCAAAGAUUGAAAGGGAAAACAAGAUUACUAAGUGAAGAAAGAUAAAGAAUGAGGAAGUAGGAGAGCAUUUGAUAUUUAGAGGCAGAGGCAGAGGGUCGCUUAUAGUAAACAAUAGAGGUGAACUCAAUUAGGUAGUCAAUGUUCUUAUCUUUUGGUUGUAGAGCUCUGCCUGCUUCACACUUGCUUUUGAGGUUGGGUUGAUUUGAUAUUCAUGACUAUCAAUCCUUUUUUGUUUUAUUUCGAAAUUCCCGAAUUAUUUUAUACUAGACACCAUAUGUCAGUAUAUAUAUAUGUAUAUAUGUACAUGUUAAUCAAUUUUCUUGACACUUUCCUUCACACCACUUUCAUCCUUCAAUUAUUGUGGUGAACCAACGAUGUCGAAAAUAGUAAAUAAGCACAACCGGAACUUUACAGAAUUCUACUCAAAUUAUCAAGUCAACAAAUUAAAGUGUAAUUAACAUUUAAUAUUACACCAAAAAGAAACCACUUUUGGUAGAAUGUGCGUCUUACAUUGUGAGCUUUCAACUAAAGUUAUGUUUUUUUCUCUUUUAAAAGCAGUUUAUUUAUUUAAAUUUAAAAAAAAUUGAUUUAUUUUUCUAAAUACUUUUUUAAAAUGGUCUUUUUAUUUAAUUUGUCUAGUAAUAAUUUGUCUUCAAUUUUAAAGCCUAAAUGGUAAAUAAACUAAAUUCCAAAAAAUAAAAAUAUAAGAAUUAAAUUUUAAAUUUUAAAUUUAUGAAUAAUACAAUGGUGACUGUGCUUGGCCUCCAUUUCUCCUUCCCCAAGCAAUAUAAAUAAAGGAAAAGCUCGAUUUUGGGAGGAAAGUUUGAAUGGGAAAACAAGAUUACAAGUGAAGAAAGAUAAUGAUGGAGGAAGUGGGAGAGCAUUUGAUAUUUUGAGGCAAAGGUCAACUCAAUUAGCUAGUGAAUGCUUUUAUUCAAGAUAACACAUGCUGUUCAUGGUGGGUUGAUUUGAUGUUUAUGAGAUUUAUUUAAAUCAAUUUUGUUUACAGUUUCAGCCUUCAAUUAUUGUGGUGAACCCAACUUUCAGCGAACACAUACAAGAGCAAUUCAUGAGUUGUCGGGAAAAGUUUGGCUAUCUUUUUACACAAGAUAGGCAGUGGAGUAUUCGCUCUUUUUAAAAUGGAAAGUGGUUUAUUUUCUUAAUAUUUUAAAUUAAUAAUAAUAAAAUUAUAUUUUUAUUUUUCUUAAAAUUAAUAAAAUUCUAAUUUAAUUUUUUAAAAAUUAUAAAAAUAAUAAUUAAAAAUUUAAAUUUACUCCUCUAAAAAGUUUUUCUAACUAUACGGAAAGAUAGUUUGUUUUUGUUUUUUCGUUCUUUAAGUAAAAGCUAGAUACUAAUAAUGAUUUUCUUUUUUUACUUUGUUAUAAUGUUAAUUUACCAAAAUAAUUUUUUUAAAUGAAAUAUUGAAAUAAGUUACUGUUGACACCAUUUUUUUGAUGAAAACGGGGUCGACUUGGAUUUUGAAAAUGAAAACGGGAGUCGCCACCAAUCUUUUAUUAAGGUGUGAUUGGAUCACCUCGAAAAGCGGUCGUUUUUUAAUAAACGGUUUGAUUUUAUUAAAACAACAAGUUUGGUCCGCGAAAUUCAGAAAACGGGUUCGGGAGUCGGUUACGCACGAGGAAGGAUUAGCACCCUCGAUACGCCCAAAAUUGGUACCUUAGUUGAUUACUUAAUGUCUUAAUGUCAAAAAUUGAAAACUUAGAAGAAUUAAAAAAAAUACGAUCCUUGUAUUAAAACGUUGAAAAUUUUCAGGAAAAUGGGCAUAUUUCACAUUAUUCGAGAAAGAGAAUCAUAUCCAGUAAGUUAGAAUACAAUGUCUCAAAUUCCCAAUACGUAAAUGAAUGCCAGAAUUUUACUUAUUUAAAAGAUAUUUUAUUAUCUCGGGUUUAGGAAAGGGAUCAUGCCCAGUAAGUUAGGACACGAUCUUUUCUUAAUUCCCGAGAUCGUUUCAAAACUUGAGUUUGAAAAGAUCAGUGUGUUUAGAUUUAUUGUGGAAAUCGAAACCCAGUAAGUUAGGGUACGAUCCUCUCGAAUCUAAACAAAAAAUAUCACUUUUUUUAAACAAAUUUUAUUAUCGAGUAAAAUAAAAACAUGAAGUCGUAGUAAAAAAUGUGAAAGCAAAUUACAUUGUUAUACAUGACAAAAUCAUAAUGAAUACAAAAGUGUAAAAAUGAUACGAGCGAUAGCAACAAUAUAAAAUAAAUAAAAGUCAAACCCACAAUCAUAUAAAAUAACAAUAUAUAUAAACAAAUAAAUUAAACAUUCGUUCAAAAUAAUAAUGAAAAUGAAAUAAAUAAAUAAUGAAUACAAUCAAAAUUCAAAGGGAUAUAUAUAUUUAUGUGUAUAGACAAAAGAAAAUAUAAUAUGUGUGUAUUCAUAAAUUACAAUGUAUAUAUGUAAAGUAUACUUUAAAAUAUAAAAAAUAUGCAUAUAGAUAAAAAUAUGUACACAUAUAUAUAGAUGUAUAAAAUUAUGGAAUAUGAAAAUAAUGAAAUGCAUAUAUAAAGUAGGCGCAUGAAAAUAUGUAUGUACAAAUUAGAAUUUAAAAAUAAUGAAAAUAUACCGACGUAUACAAAUAAGUACGUUAAUUUAUAUAUAUAUAUGUUUAAAAUAUAUUGAAAAUAUGUAUGUAUAUGUCUAUGCAAAUUAAGAUAUACAAAAACAUAUAAAUAUAUACAUAAAUAUAUAUAUACUUAUAAAAAUAAAAAUAUGUAUGUGUAUAGAUAUAUAUAAAAAGAAAUAUGAGUAUACGUAUAUAUAUUAAACAAAUUAUAUGUAAAAUAUGUACAUGUACAUAUACAAGCACUUAUAUGAUAAUAAAAAAAUAUAUAUAUUUGAAAAUACAUAAGUAUAUAUGAAUAGAGAUGUAAAAGUAACAACAAUAAUACCAAUACUAAUAAUAGUAAAGAUGAUAAUAAUAAUAAUAAUAAUAAUAAUAAUGAAGUUAACAAAAAUUGACUAAAUAAUAAAAUAUGCUAAAAAGGGGCCUUAAAUCGAAAUGAAAUAGAACAUAUAGGGCCAAUUCGAAAUAAAGGAAAACGAAAGGGAUCCAAUUGCGACGCGCGUAAAAAAGGGAAGGACCGAAACAGAAAAUAAACCCAAAAUCCCAAAACGCAGCACCUCAAUGGACUAAAAUAAAACAAAAAUAAAAUGUUAGGGCUAAAUCAAAAUAAAAUAAAACAACAAAAUAGGACCAAAUUGAAACACGCCGCGAAUCAGAGGGACUGCGCGCAUAAAUAGCCCAAAAAUUAAAAACACGCGGAUCCUUCGGGUCGGGUCGGGUCGACGCGCGGAUCCCCUUUGCUAAAACGGCGUCGUUUCAUUUUGAAUAUAAAUAAUAGAAAAAAACAAAAAAAACAAAUCAGAUUCAUUUUUUAGAAAAAAAAGCUGAGAGGGAGAGUCUCUCUCUCAUUCUUUCAGGCCCGGCGUUGGUCAUCGGCCGAACUAGGCCUCCGGCGAUUCUCCGCCCUAGCGCCGCCGCGUAUGGUGGCCGGAGUAUCCCAAAAAUCGGAUUUUUUCAUCCUUUUCGAAGUUAAGUGCGUCUUAAGCACGAAUCGAAGGGUUAAAUCCGAAAAAGGAGGUCCGAAACUUGAAGAACGAGGAGAGACCACUCGCCCUUCCCCUUUCGACGUAGCACAGGUAACCCCUAUUCCUAUUUUGUUUUGUUAAAAGAGUUGUAGAAAAUAAAAAAAAUAAUAGAAGACAGGAAAUAAAACGCAAGAAUCUGAGAAAAAAAUCUGAAAUCCACCUUUUCUUUCGCUUUUUUAUCUUCUUAUUAUUCACUGAUUGUUGUUAAUUCCUUGUUUGAUACCCAAAAUCCCCCAAGCCCCCUUUUACAUAUUAAAUCUGGCUUUUUAUAGCCGAAAGAAAGAAAAAAAAUUUGUCUUCGUUUCUGCUUGCGUGUUUGUUUCUCUUUGCAGGUGGAGCGGGUGGAGCAGGUGAGCAGCGAUGGGACGUGCGGCGGCCAGCAAGUGAACGGCGGAGUUGGUGGGUCUGCUGGUAUGGGUUCUUUUGCUUCUUUCUUGGGCCCGGGCAAAUGGGCCUGCAACAGCUGCCCCUCUUUGCUCGUUGUCGUGUAACGAUAACAGAGUAAAGACUAAGAAAGGCCCAUUUUGCCCGGUCUUGCCGAGUCUUGACCUGUUCUGGUACUUCUCCAUUUCAAGUAGUUUCAUUCCAGUCCACUAGGUCUUGUUGCUUCGAUCCAUUCCACUGCAUUUUAGAGAGAUGCGUCCUGUAGCCUUUAUCUUCUUCGUAGCAACUUCAGGGGGACGAGGUUUGUGGUUUUCAAUCUAUUCCACUGCAUCUUCAGGGAAAUAAGACUUGAUGCGACCUACUCUGCUGUAACCUCAGAGAGAUAAGAUCCUUUAUUUUAACCCACUCCACUGUAACUUCAGGGAGAUAGGAUAGUGUCUUCGAUCUGCUCCGCUGUAAUCUCGGGGAGAUAAGAUCUCUGGCUUCAAUCUGCUCCACUGUAACUUCAGGGGGAUAAGAUCUGCAAUUCUUCGGUCUACUCCACUGUAACCUCAGAGAGAUAAGACCUGAUGCGAUCUACUCUACUGUAACUUCAGAGAGAUAAGAUCCUUUAUUUUAAUCCGCUCCACUGUAACUUCAGGGAGAUAGGAUUAUAUCUUCGAUCUGCUCCGCUGUAACCUCAGGGAGACAAGAUCUGUAAUUCUUCGGUCUGUUCCACUGUAAUCUCAGGGAGAUAAGAUCCUUUAUUUUAAUCCGCUCCACUGUAACUUCAGGGAGAUAGGAUUAUAUCUUCGAUCUGCUCCGCUGUAACCUCAGGGAGACAAGAUCUGCAAUUCUUCGGUCUGUUCCACUGUAAUCUCAGGGAGAUAAGACCUGAUGUGAUCUUCUCUACUGUAACUUCAGAGAGAUAAGAUCCUUUAAUCCGCUCUAUUGUAAUCUCAAGGAGAUAGGAUUACUAUCUUUGAUCUGCUCCGCUGUAAUCUCAGGGAGAUAAGAUCUCUGGCUUCAAUCUGCUCCAAUGCAACCGAUGGAGGCAAGGCUUUGUCUUUGAUCUGCUUCGCUGUUAAUGCAGGAAGGCAAGAUCUACUUCUUUAACUAGCUCCACUGCGAUCGAUGGAUGCAAGGCUUUGUUUUCGAUCUGCUUCGCUGUUAAUGUAGGAAGGCAAGAUCUUUUGUCUUCAACCAGCUCUAUCACAACCGAAAGAGGCAAGGUUUGUGUCUUCGAUCUGCUUCGCUGCUAAUGCAGGAAGGCAAGAUCCUUUGUCUUCAUUGAUCUGUCCCUUGGGGAACAUGACCUGUAUGUUCUAUUUUAUGAACCUAAUUGUGCCUAGUGAUUCAGAUGACAUAAUCAGAAUGAAUCCAAUUCUCCUAACUAGAUAUGUAUGAAUGACAUUUGAGUGAAUGCAAAAUGUCAUGAAGAUGAUUCCUUAAUGCUUAGGUUAACAUCACGUAAAAACUUAUUAAGGUUUUAUCACUGACGUACUACAACGCCUUUUUGCUCGUCUGGUAUAUCCAAAGAAACACUUAAUCUGGUUGCCCCCCCACUGUAAACCUUAAAGUUUAAUCUAUUAGGGCACAAAAUUUGUACCAUCAUUCUCCCACUAUAAUCCAAGGGUAGAAAGAUAUGGCUUUUUCAAUCUUCUCCUAUCGCAAUUCAAGGAUACAGAAUGUGAAGCUCUUUGGUCCUUUACCUCAUUCCCAAGGUGUCAUACCAAAUGCUCAUGCACAAUUGCAAAAUUUUCCUCUCCGAGAAAACCUUUUCUUAUCAUUUGGUGAUCAUUGCUUGUUUGUUCAUUGAAGCUUUGUCACCAACACGACAUCUCGUCAUUUUGUUCAAUCAAUGUUUGGACAACAAAAUCCAAAAAUAUAGUCUUUAACUUAGACUCUUCCUUCUUAGAUACUUCACCCUUUAAACUUGGUGUUUUCUAAACAAUAGUCCUGUUUCAGGUUUCUAUAUUAUUUAGAACUUUUCAGAGUAAUAUGCAAAACUUCUUUCCUGAAAGUUUUAUUAGUUCGUUAAUCAAUAUUCCUAUGCAACAUGUUUGCAAAAAGAUCAUAACAAUGGAUAAGAAUAAAGCUAGCUCUGAUCAUAACUCAAAUAAAACAUCAAAGAUGGCGAAAGAAAGGUAACAAAGAAGUGGAUUGAGAAUGCGCGUUUUCACAAAAGGCAAGGAAGAAAGAAAGAAAAUGUAUUUUCAAGAAUACACAUAUGAACUAGGUGCCCCAGCUAUCGCUGCUUGAGUUUCUCUGUACAAACUUUCCGAAGACCCUUCUGAGUUUGACAUGUGUUCAGGAAAUCUGCAAUACUCUGUCAAUGUUCCGAGACGUUGCAUAUCCUUCCUUAUUGGUAAAGCAAGAUCAUCAUAUGCCCCUGAUCAAAAUUUGAUCCGCUCAAGUCCUGAUGUUCCAAUCCUGCCCAAUACUCGAGUCGCCCUUUUCGGGUUUUCGACUCAAGCCCUCUUUGGUCUCAAAGUGCCCUUUACGGGUUUUCACCUUAGCCUCUCCAAAGUUUUUUUUUUUUUUUUUUUUUUUUUUUUUUUUUAGGAAGCAAAGCGCCCUUUACGGGUUUUCACUUUGGUUCCCCUUUCUUUCAAGUGAAGUAUUUCUUAACAGAGUCUGCGUUUACAGGAUUUGGUAAACUUUUGCCAUCCAUCUCGCAUAGGAUCAAAGCUCCACCGGAAAAGGCCUUCUUUACAACAUAAGGGCCUUCCCAAUUUGGCAUCCAUUUUCCUCUAAAAUCUUUUUGCAUAGGAAGAAUCUUUUUUAGUACCAAGUCCCCUUCACGAAAUUCUCGGGGGCGAACCUUUUUAUUAUAAGCUCGCAUCAUUCGUUUCUGGUACAUUUGCCCAUGGUGAAUAGCUCUUAGCCUCUUUUCUUCUAUUAGGUUCAACUGAUCGUACCGAGAUUGGAUCCAAUCGGCUUCAUCCAACUGUAGCUCAGAUAACACCCGUAGAGAAGGGAUUUCAACUUCAAUGGGUAAUACUGCCUCCAUUCCAUAAACCAGAGAAAAAGGCGUUGCCCCAGUAGAAGUUCUAACAGAUGUUCGAUAGGCGAGGAGAGCAAAUGAUAAUUUCUCAUGCCAAUCCUUGUAGGUUUCAGUCAUUUUCCCCACAAUCCUUUUAAUGUUUUUAUUGGCCGCCUCCACUGCACCAUUCAUUUUGGGACGAUACGGCGAUGAGUUAUGAUGCUUAAUUUUAAAUUUGCUACAAACUUCAGCUAUUGUGCUAUUAUUCAAGUUCAUCGCGUUGUCGGAUAUGAUCCUCUCAGGCAUCCCAUAUCGACAAAUGAUCUCCUUCUUCAAGAAUUUGCUGACUACUGCUUUUGUGACAUUUGCAUAUGAAGCAGCCUCCACCCACUUGGUAAAGUAAUCAAUUACUACGAAGAUGAAGCGAUGCCCAUUAGAAGCCUUUGGUGAUAUUGGCCCAAUAACAUCCAUACCCCACAUGGAAAACGGCCAAGGAGAGGUCAUGACGUGAAGAGGUGAAGGAGGCGCGUGUAUUUUGUCUCCGUAAAUUUGGCAUUUGUGGCACCUCCUGGCAUGAUCAAUGCAAUCUCCUUCCAUGGUGGGCCAAUAGUACCCAAAUCUCAUGAUCUGUUUGGCCAUCGUGAAACCACUGGCGUGCGUCCCACAAAUACCCUUAUGGACUUCUUCCAAAAUUUUCUUGGCUUCUACCGCAUCUACACAUCUUAACAGUACUUGAUCCUUCCUUCUUUUGUAUAACACUUCUCCAUCUAAGACAUAUUCAAUGGCUAUCUUUCUCAGAGUUCUUUUGUCAUUCUCUGUCGCUUGAUCAGGGUAUUCCCGAUUCUUCACAUAUUGUAAGAUACUCCGAUACCAAGGACAAUCAUCUUUUCCCUCCUCCUCAAUAUUGCAACAAUUAGCCGGGGUCUCAGAGAUACUCAUCUGAACAGGCCUCAUUGCCUCAAGUCUAUUCACCUGAAUCAUCGAAGCUAGAGUAGCUAAUGCAUCAGCCAUUUGGUUUUCCUCCCGUGGGAGGUAAUAGAAGGUGAUAUCGUCAAACUCCUCAGCCAAUUCAAGAACUAGUUUCCUAUAACCAAUUAGCUUAGGAUCUCUAGUCUCCCACUCCCCUUUGAGUUGGUAUAUCACCAACGCUGAAUCCCCGUAUACUCUCAGUACUUUGAUGUUCCGUUCAAUGGCUGCACGAAUGCCCAUAAUACAUGCUUCAUAUUCUGCCAUAUUAUUUGUACAAUCGAAGUCCAACUUACUGGCAACAGGAUAAUGAUCUCCACUCGGGGAUACCAAAACUGCCCCAACUCCAUUACCCGUAGCAUUCGAAGCUCCAUCAAAAUUUAACUUCCAUACGUGAUCCAUUUGAGGAUUUUCUUCAGUAUUCGCCACAUACAUCAAGUCCUCGUUUGGAAAAUCGAAAUUCAAAGAUUCAUAGUCCUCCAAGGCUCUACUAGCUAGGAAAUCGGCUAUUGCACUUCCCUUUAUGGCCUUCUGACUGACAUAUACUAUAUCAAAUUCUGAGAGCAAGAUCUGCCAUCUAGCCAUUCUCCCGUUCAAAGCGGUCGAUUCCAUCAUAUAUUUUAAAGGAUCUAACUUUGAAAUCAGCCAAGUCGUGUGAUACAACAUAUACUGCCUCAGUCUUCGGGUUGCCCAGAUUAGAGCACAACACAACUUCUCAAUUGAUGAGUACCUCAUUUCGCAAUCGGUAAAUUUCUUACUGAGAUAGUAUAUUGCCCUUUCUUUCUUUCCCGUCUCAUCAUGUUGGCCCAAUACGCAUCCCAUGGAAUUCUCCAACACUGUUAGAUACAAUAUCAAUGGCCUAUCUGGACUUGGAGGUGAUAAGACUGGAGUAUUAGCCAAGUACUGCUUUAUCUUAUCGAAAGCCCUCUGACACUCUUCAUCCCAAUUGCCCGGAUUAUGUUUCUUUAAGAGCCGGAAUACUGGAUCACAUUUCUCUGUCAGUUGUGAGAUGAACCGAGCGAUGUAAUUCAGCCUCCCUAGGAAACCUCGAACCUCCCUCUGAGUGCGCGGGGGAGGUAAAUCUCGUAUUGCCUUUACUUUGUCUGGGUCAACCUCGAUCCCCUUUUUGCUAACUAUGAAGCCUAAUAACUUCCCUGAUCUGGCCCCGAACGUGCAUUUGGCCGGGUUAAGCUUGAGCUGAAAUUUCUUUAAUCUCAAAAAUAACCUUUUCAAAACCUGAACAUGCUCUUCUUCCGUUCUAGACUUCGCGAUCAUAUCGUCAACAUAGACUUCGAUCUCCUUGUGCAUCAUGUCGUGAAACAAAGUCACCAUAGCUCUUUGAUACGUUGCUCCCGCAUUCUUCAAUCCGAAGGGCAUUACCUUGUAACAAAAUGUUCCCCAUAAGGUAAUGAAUGUGGUUUUCCUCAUGUCUCCGGGAUGCAUCUUUAUUUGAUUGUAUCCAGAGAAACCGUCCAUGAAAGAAAACAAUGAAUAGCCCGCCGUGUUAUCUACCAAAGUAUCAAUGUGAGGCAGUGGAAAGUUGUCCUUUGGACUAGCCUUGUUUAAAUCCCUAUAAUCCACACACAUUCGUACCUUUCCAUCUUUUUUGGGAACAGGGACGAUGUUGGCUACCCAAUCCGAAUACUUGACCUCUUGUAAGAAACCAGCGUCGAAUUGUCUUUUGACUUCUUCUCUUAUUUUUAACACAAUGUCAGGUCUCAUUCUCCUAAGCUUCUGUUGAACGGGUUUACAAUCCUCCUUUAUGGGUAGACGAUGUACCACAAUGUUAGUAUUUAGCCCAGGCAUAUCUUGGUACGACCACGCGAAAACAUCCUUGAACUCUCGGAGCAAAUUGAUGAGGUCUUGCCUUGUCUUUGCGGUAAUUUCAGUUCCAAUUUUCACCUCCUUUCCAUCCUCUAGGCUCACUAUUUCUAACGAUUCCUUAUGAGGUAGGAUAUGCUUAUCCUCUUGUUCCAUCAUUCUUAACAAGUCCGGAGAUGCAUCAUAAUCUUCGUCAUUUUCAAAGUCGUGGAAUCUCUCUGAACACACUUCUUGCUCAAAAAUAGGCUCCGCGUUUGAGACAGCAUCACUCAUGUCAUUGAUAUCUGAAGACCUAUGUGGGCAGAUCAAAUAAUAUACCAAGAAUAUAAAUUUAUGAAUAUGUUUGUGCAAAAGAAUCACAAAUGAAAGAAUUGUUUGUAAGACAAUCAACCAAAUAAAAAAUAUGAAAGGAAAAAAAAGUGACUGAUCGAGAUGAACGUAGACACGUAUUUUAUUAAAAUAAUGAUAUUUAGGCCCAAUGCCUAUUUCACAAAAAAUUUCGUAUCGUUUCUAGGCCAACAAACAACAGGAAUGUUUUGAGCAUUACUCUGAAUAAGCCCUAAAGACUACAGGGAUUUCUUCAGCAGUCCAAUUGUUUAGCUCGCUUCCAGGCUCAUAAGGGCGGAUCUCCAACAAAGCCCUCCUUUCCGUUGCUUCUAUGGUGUUAAUAUAAACGUUUUCCAACAUUCCUCCCAUGCCGCUACCGGACACCCCACAUUCAGAAUGAAUAAAUCCUCCCGACACAAAAGAUGAAGAUAUGUGGGGAAAGGUUAAAGGCUCACACUUAGCUUCAUGUCCAUUCAAACGCGCCCUUCUUCUCGCUUGUCUCUUCUCUACUUCUUUCUUCUUCUGCUUCAUGUCUGGCUUGUACCCUAAACCAAAUCUAUCAAACUUUUCCCUCGGCAUUGGUGCCUCAAUCCUCCCCUGAAGAUAUUUUCCCAAUCCUUUCCCGGGUAAGGCUCCUCUUCCUACCAUCAAUCGCAAUCCCAUCUCAGUGGUCCUGGACACUUUCGGUACUGGAAUCCUAUUUCCCUCCGCAAUAAACAUCGCGUUCACAAAUUCUAACGACCGAAAAGAACAUUCCAGUGCCUCAUCGUUGAUGUCCACAUAAGGUGCCUCGCUAGUCAUCAUUGCGAUAAUAUCCUCCUCUGCAUCUAUUGUUACCAACCGAUCCUCCGAUACCAACUUCACCUUCUGAUGUAAUGAUGAAGGUACCGCUCCUGCUGAGUGUAUCCACGGUCUCCCCAAUAGACAGUUGUAGGAGGGUUUAAUAUCCAUUACCAAGAAAUCCACCUCAUAAGUGACUGGGCCAAUCCUUAAUGGUACUUCAAUUCUCCCCAUAACCUCCUUUUUUGUUCCAUCAAAUGCCCUUACUAUGCUCUGGCAUGCUUUCAUGUGCGAACUGUCUAUUGGUAAUCGACUAAGAGUGGACAAAGGCAAUACAUUUAGUGCAGAUCCAUUAUCGACCAAGGCCCCCGGGAGUGUGUACCCUUUGCAUCGGACAGUAACGUGGAGGGCUUUAGUAGAACCUCUUCCUCCGGAUGGUAUUUCAUCAUCAUUGAAGAAGAUAAAAUUGUCAGCACCAAUAUUGUUGAUCAACCGAUCCAACUUGUUUACUGAAAUAUCGUCAGCCACAUAUGUUUCGUUUAGCACCUUUAAGAGUGCAUUCCGAUGUACUUCUGAGUUUAAGAGUAAAGCUAAUACCGAAAUGCGGGCUGGCUGUUUGUGCAGUUGCUCCACAACACUGUAUUCGCUGUGUUUCAAAAACUUCAAAAACUCCUUCGCCUCUUCUUCUUUUAUUGGUUCAUUUACCAAUGGUUCAACUUCUACUGCCUUCCCUUUCCUCUGUUCUUUCUUCCAAUUCUCUUCCCUGGACGACUCUGCUUGAGCGUCAUAUCUUUUUCCCUUGCGCGUGUAAAAAACUGUUUCCUGAUUUCUUUCUGCUUCUUUUCCCAAAAUGGUCACAUUACACCCGUAAUUCCACGGCACCAUUUUGUUAUCUUUAUAAGAGAAAUUUGAUGGUUUCUGGAUUACAAUUUUCGGCGUUACCUGAGCCCUAACCUCAUUACCCUUAGGGCGGGAGAUAAUGACCACAGGAUGAUUUAUUUUUGGAGCCUUUGUUCCCAACUCUGUCGCGCAUAUGCUCCUCAUUUCUUUCACAUCUUCAUAAAACCUCAUCACCUUGUUAUCCAUCAUGCUUUGAACCAAGGCCUUGAAUCCUUCACAUUCUUGGAUUUCAUGCCCUGUUUCAUGGUGAAAUUCACAAUAAUUUCCCAUCUCAUGCCCUUUCUCAGAAUCUGAAAUAACCAAACCUCUUUUCGCCAUUUCUUUCCAGACCCAUUUCAAUGGAGUUUUUACUUCAGCAAUGUCAGUCUUGACUUCUUCUCCCGUACCUUCGCUAACCAUAUUCACCCCCUUAUCUGCGUGAUUAGGUAACGGAUUCUUUGCGUUAGGUGAGUCGUCAAGUUUGACAACACCUAAAUUGAUAAGUCCUUCUACUACCUUCUUGAAGGCAGUACAAUUUUCUAUCGAGUGCCCAGAAAUUCCCGCAUGAUAAUCACAUUGCGCGUUCGUAUCAUACCAUUUUGGAUACGGGGGUUGUAGAGGACUCAAGUAACGAGGAGCAACAACAUGUGCAUCGAAUAAAGUCUGAUACAACUCCUUGUAUGACAUCGGGAUUGGCGUGAAUUGGGGCUUUUCAGUAGUUUGCCUAGCUCCUGACUCUUGUCUUGAUGAUCCCUGUUGAUUAGCAACCACCUUCUUUGGUUGAUUCACGGUAAUUGACCUACCAUAAGCAUUCACAUUAUUCACUUCAUUUUCUCUUUUCCUCGGGGGUGCCCUCCUAUUAUUUUCUCCUCCAUCUAUUUUUCCACUUUUAAUGGCAUGCUCAAUCAUUUCACCAUUCAUGAUUAUAUCUGAGAAAUUUCUUGAAGCGCUUCCCAACAUGUGAGUGAUGAACGGGGCUUUCAAAGUAUUAAUAAAAAGCGUCGUCAUCUCUUUUUCCAAAAGCGGUGGUUGCACCUGAACCGCCACCUCUCGCCACCUCUGCGCAUAUUGUCUGAAGCUUUCGUUCGAUUUCUUCUCUAAAUUUUGCAGAGUUAUCCUGUCAGGCAUCAUUUCUGAGACAUGAUUGUAUUGUCUCAAGAAAGCCUGUGCUAAAUCCCUCCAAGUAGCAAUUUUAGCUCGGCUCAGCUGAUUGUACCACUUUGACGCCGCUCCCGUAAGACUUUCCUGAAAGCAAUGUAUUAAUAAUUGAUCAUUAUUAAUAUGCCCCGUCAUUCUUCUACAAAACAUAGUAAUAUGGGAUCCUGGGCAACUAGUCCCGUUGUAUUUCUCGAAUUCCGGCAUCUUAAAUUUGUAAGGGAGCACCAAGUCCGGAACCAAGCUCAGAUCCUUUGCAUCUGUUCCAUAGCUUUCGAUGCUUUCUAUUGCCCUAAACUUCUCUUCUAUCCAUUUCCAUUUCUCCUCAAAUUGUUUUGGAAAUUCCUCCUUCGCCUUGUCCUUUUCAACCAUCUCGUCAAGAUCUGGGACCGCAAUAUUAUUCGGGCCAUCACCGGGAUUAAAGCCCGCUCCGGGUUGAAAAUUCAUUGGGAUUGAAGCAUCGCCUUGGAACUGCUGGGGUCUAACCGACACGGAGGGUCUCCGCGAAUGCAGCUCAGUCUGUACUUGCGCAUGCGGAGGCGUGAAACCUGGAGGAUAAAGUGGUUCACCAUUGUUUUCUUCUUCACUAACAAUCACAGGCCCUUUACCCUUAUCUACUCCCUUCAAUAAUUGCGUCAUCUUAGCCACCAGAUCAUUUUGGGACUCCUCCAUCUUUUGUACCAUGUCACGCUGAAUCUUUUCUAUUUGCUCUUUCAUUUACGCCUGCAACUGGUCUUGCAUUUCUUUUUGAAGUCGCUCUAGCUUCUCCAACCUUUGGUCCAUAAUUUUUGUCUUUGCUCGGGUGCCGUAACUUUGUUGGUUUUCCAGGUUAACUGAAAUGAUUUUAUUCGAUUAGGUUUUUUUUAAUGGUCAUUAAUGCAUAUGAUGUGAUGCAAUGCAUGAAAGAGAAUGCAAAGAAAAAGAGGCACUGAUUUUAAUUCAACUUCAUUAGAAAACUUUACUAGAUAAAGAGUUUCUUUACAUAAAAUAGACUACAUAUAUGGCUUUGCCCUCACACUCAAAGCCUUAACCUUUCUAAGAAGCCAAGCUAAUUCUCGGCCCCUGUCCGACUCUGACUCAUACUUCAAACUUAAUAGAUCAGCCUGAACCGCUAGAGUUUGCAGAUGAUCAGCCACUUCGCGCACCUGAGUCACCGCCUCUCCCAUAAUAUAAUCUCUUUCUCCAAUCUGCUCUUGAGACCGACGGAAUUGUCCUUGCCACUGCUCAUUACUUUCUUCUAGAAGCUCUAUCCGGAUUUCACUAUUUUGCAAUGCAUUCUCUAGCCCCCCUAUCUGUGUUUUUAAAUCUUUAAUUUUGUCUAAGCUCGCCCUUAAUUCAACCGUAGUAUUACGAUUACAGUACUGGCGAAGCGAUCUUUCCAGUUCUGUUAUCCGGACCUUCAACUCUGUCUUCUCGUCUUGGCAAACUAGUAGACUCUUUCCCAAGGCGGCUUCUCGAGCCCGAGCAUCCUGAAAUUUCUUUUCCCAUUGAUUAGCUUUCGUCUUUUCCUCCUGAAUUUCUUGUCGCCAUUGUUCUGGUGUUUUACCCAAGCCAGCGGCUCUUACUGACUUACGCAACUUCUUGUAAUCUGUCUUCAGGCUGUCCAAAUCUUCUUCUGCCUUGUUCUUUCCUUUCCUCAAUUUGUUGGCCUCUAAUCUUUGAAUGUCCACAUCCAGUCCUAACUGCAUUUUUUCUUCCUCAAGUUGUUCUAUCUUCUUCCCCAAUUCUAAACUUCUUUUUUCGAAUUCUUGUUUGAUGAUUUCUAUCUCAGAAGGCAAGACUUGUAAGUGUUCCUCUAAAGAUCGAGCCGUUUCUGAAUUUGACGCCGGGAUGUUGUCGUUGAUCCUUUGAUUACGCCACUGACCAUACUCGGGGGUAAUUGUCGGACCCACAGCUAAGAUCUUCAUUCGACGAGUCUGGUUCCAGGCACUAGAUAUUUCUCGAACCUUUUUCUUGUAAUUGUCCUCCCUAUAGGAAAAAUCACUAUAAGCCAACCCCUGGGUUACUGGUAUGAAUUGUCGUGAUCUAUACUGUCUUGACACGAGUAGAGGAGCAUAUCCAAUAGCUCCCCAUAUCCCGAGCAGCGGAACCCAGUCAAAAUCUCCACAUCGGUACAAUAUCUCAUCAGGAAUUAACCAAGGAGCCCUCCAUUCAAUAUCUUCAUCUUGGAGAUUCUGGAGUAUCUCUAUCCAUUUUUCUUCUGAAAUAUCAUCCCGUCUUGGCGUGGCCACCAAUUCUCCUAGAGGGGAGUAGCUAUCGGAGAAUACCCGGUAAGAGACCUUUUCGACUUUCCAGAAGUGGCUAUGGAACCAUGCCAAUAAGAGCUGCGCGCAUCCAAUAAACCUUCCCUCCCCUGCUUUUCGACACGCAUUCAAAGAUCUAAAAGUUUCAGCGAGUAUUGCCGGAACCGGUGUAACCCCUUUACCAAGCCGAUCGAACAAAUCAGAUACAGCCUCGUCUAUGUGUCCUAAAGCUUUGGGGAAAACCACUAGUCCAUAGAUACCUAAAGCGAAGACAUCGACCCUUUUCUUUAAGUCAGGAUGUACAAGCACCAAAUCUCGUAAACUUUUCCAAGGAACACAUUUACUGUCGCCCUUCUGUUGGAUCCGGGCAGCGACCCACUGCUCGCUCAUUCCAGUGAUGUUCAUUAAUUUCUUUAACAACGGAGGGACACAAGCAGCUCUGGAAUAAGCCUUGUCGACUUGAAUCUUUGGGCACCGAAGUAAGGUCGUAUACUCCUCUACCGUAGGCGUCAAAUCUACCUUCCCAAAAGUGAAACAACUGUAGGCAGGAUUCCAAAACUGAGCAAGGGCUCGGAAUAAAUACUUGUCCACUUUGACACUGAGCAGAUAAGGUAGGUCACCAUAGUUACAAUAGAACAGCUCCUUGGCCUCGACAUCCCAUUGAUCCCAGACUUCUUUCAUUUCUCGAAGGUCAUUCUGGAUUACACUGAUACGGGUAAAAUCCCACAAUUCUGACACGUACCCUUCGGUAAGACUAUCGCCUUUCUCCCGUUGCGUCGUUUCAGCCCAUAUUCGCACAGCCGCAUUAUCCUCUACUUUAUCAACAAACCCCUUUUCCAUGAUAAGCUUUCUACUAAGAAACUGAACGUAAAUCGACACCUCUUUUAGGAUGAAGAUGCCAUGCAAUCACAAGCAAAGUAAAUUAGCAUUAAACACAGCAUAAGAUUUAAAAUAAACGACAAAUAAAUACAACAUUCAUUUAGGUAGGCACUAAAAUUUUAGAGUAGCUCUACCUAAGUCGGUUCCUAUGGCUCAUUACAUGUGGUUUGGUUCUAAAGUAGGGUACCUGAACCAGCAAAUUCCUCGAUCCUCACCCAUUAUAGGCUCAUACGGACCAAGUUCGAUUCAGGGGGAUACAUUUCCCUAUGGCCAUGCGGAGAUGAAAAUCUCACGAAGACAUAGGUACGGAUAUAUCCCGAAAGCGAUUCACUAUCCCAUGCGGAGGUGAAAACCUCACGAAGGCGUAGCUCCUCACUCCCACUUAAAAAGGUGUGACCAACGGUCAUGCAAUGCAAUGCGCAGAGGUAUAAGAUAAAAUACAGAACACGACCAAAAUAUAACUCAAAACAAAAGAGAUGCAGUGAGAGGAUCGUAAAUUUCAAUCGAAUUUUCAACUUUCGACAAAAAGACAAGAAAUAAUCAACACGUGGCUUGACUCUCUUAUGGUGUCCCCAGCGGAGUCGCCAAGCUGUUGACACCAUUUUUUUGAUGAAAACGGGGUCGACUUGGAUUUUGAAAAUGAAAACGGGAGUCGCCACCAAUCUUUUAUUAAGGUGUGAUUGGAUCACCUCGAAAAGCGGUCGUUUUUUAAUAAACGGUUUGAUUUUAUUAAAACAACAAGUUUGGUCCGCGAAAUUCAGAAAACGGGUUCGGGAGUCGGUUACGCACGAGGAAGGAUUAGCACCCUCGAUACGCCCAAAAUUGGUACCUUAGUUGAUUACUUAAUGUCUUAAUGUCAAAAAUUGAAAACUUAGAAGAAUUAAAAAAAAUACGAUCCUUGUAUUAAAACGUUGAAAAUUUUCAGGAAAAUGGGCAUAUUUCACAUUAUUCGAGAAAGAGAAUCAUAUCCAGUAAGUUAGAAUACAAUGUCUCAAAUUCCCAAUACGUAAAUGAAUGCCAGAAUUUUACUUAUUUAAAAGAUAUUUUAUUAUCUCGGGUUUAGGAAAGGGAUCAUGCCCAGUAAGUUAGGACACGAUCUUUUCUUAAUUCCCGAGAUCGUUUCAAAACUUGAGUUUGAAAAGAUCAGUGUGUUUAGAUUUAUUGUGGAAAUCGAAACCCAGUAAGUUAGGGUACGAUCCUCUCGAAUCUAAACAAAAAAUAUCACUUUUUUUAAACAAAUUUUAUUAUCGAGUAAAAUAAAAACAUGAAGUCGUAGUAAAAAAUGUGAAAGCAAAUUACAUUGUUAUACAUGACAAAAUCAUAAUGAAUACAAAAGUGUAAAAAUGAUACGAGCGAUAGCAACAAUAUAAAAUAAAUAAAAGUCAAACCCACAAUCAUAUAAAAUAACAAUAUAUAUAAACAAAUAAAUUAAACAUUCGUUCAAAAUAAUAAUGAAAAUGAAAUAAAUAAAUAAUGAAUACAAUCAAAAUUCAAAGGGAUAUAUAUAUUUAUGUGUAUAGACAAAAGAAAAUAUAAUAUGUGUGUAUUCAUAAAUUACAAUGUAUAUAUGUAAAGUAUACUUUAAAAUAUAAAAAAUAUGCAUAUAGAUAAAAAUAUGUACACAUAUAUAUAGAUGUAUAAAAUUAUGGAAUAUGAAAAUAAUGAAAUGCAUAUAUAAAGUAGGCGCAUGAAAAUAUGUAUGUACAAAUUAGAAUUUAAAAAUAAUGAAAAUAUACCGACGUAUACAAAUAAGUACGUUAAUUUAUAUAUAUAUAUGUUUAAAAUAUAUUGAAAAUAUGUAUGUAUAUGUCUAUGCAAAUUAAGAUAUACAAAAACAUAUAAAUAUAUACAUAAAUAUAUAUAUACUUAUAAAAAUAAAAAUAUGUAUGUGUAUAGAUAUAUAUAAAAAGAAAUAUGAGUAUACGUAUAUAUAUUAAACAAAUUAUAUGUAAAAUAUGUACAUGUACAUAUACAAGCACUUAUAUGAUAAUAAAAAAAUAUAUAUAUUUGAAAAUACAUAAGUAUAUAUGAAUAGAGAUGUAAAAGUAACAACAAUAAUACCAAUACUAAUAAUAGUAAAGAUGAUAAUAAUAAUAAUAAUAAUAAUAAUAAUGAAGUUAACAAAAAUUGACUAAAUAAUAAAAUAUGCUAAAAAGGGGCCUUAAAUCGAAAUGAAAUAGAACAUAUAGGGCCAAUUCGAAAUAAAGGAAAACGAAAGGGAUCCAAUUGCGACGCGCGUAAAAAAGGGAAGGACCGAAACAGAAAAUAAACCCAAAAUCCCAAAACGCAGCACCUCAAUGGACUAAAAUAAAACAAAAAUAAAAUGUUAGGGCUAAAUCAAAAUAAAAUAAAACAACAAAAUAGGACCAAAUUGAAACACGCCGCGAAUCAGAGGGACUGCGCGCAUAAAUAGCCCAAAAAUUAAAAACACGCGGAUCCUUCGGGUCGGGUCGGGUCGACGCGCGGAUCCCCUUUGCUAAAACGGCGUCGUUUCAUUUUGAAUAUAAAUAAUAGAAAAAAACAAAAAAAACAAAUCAGAUUCAUUUUUUAGAAAAAAAAGCUGAGAGGGAGAGUCUCUCUCUCAUUCUUUCAGGCCCGGCGUUGGUCAUCGGCCGAACUAGGCCUCCGGCGAUUCUCCGCCCUAGCGCCGCCGCGUAUGGUGGCCGGAGUAUCCCAAAAAUCGGAUUUUUUCAUCCUUUUCGAAGUUAAGUGCGUCUUAAGCACGAAUCGAAGGGUUAAAUCCGAAAAAGGAGGUCCGAAACUUGAAGAACGAGGAGAGACCACUCGCCCUUCCCCUUUCGACGUAGCACAGGUAACCCCUAUUCCUAUUUUGUUUUGUUAAAAGAGUUGUAGAAAAUAAAAAAAAUAAUAGAAGACAGGAAAUAAAACGCAAGAAUCUGAGAAAAAAAUCUGAAAUCCACCUUUUCUUUCGCUUUUUUAUCUUCUUAUUAUUCACUGAUUGUUGUUAAUUCCUUGUUUGAUACCCAAAAUCCCCCAAGCCCCCUUUUACAUAUUAAAUCUGGCUUUUUAUAGCCGAAAGAAAGAAAAAAAAUUUGUCUUCGUUUCUGCUUGCGUGUUUGUUUCUCUUUGCAGGUGGAGCGGGUGGAGCAGGUGAGCAGCGAUGGGACGUGCGGCGGCCAGCAAGUGAACGGCGGAGUUGGUGGGUCUGCUGGUAUGGGUUCUUUUGCUUCUUUCUUGGGCCCGGGCAAAUGGGCCUGCAACAGUUACCAAAAUAUAAAUUUUAGAAUUUUUAUAAAUAUUUAGGUUUUUAAAAAUUAUUUUAAUUUUUUUUUGGAAAUUAUUAAACUUUUUUUGUUGGAAGACCAAUUUGAUCAUUUUCAAAAUUGAGCACGGAUCAAAGAGAUCUUAACUCUUAUUUGUUAUUUGAGUUAUUCAAAUUAUAAAGUUCAACUCGACUAGAACUUGAAACUUAAAUUAAUUAUUCGAGUUGACUCGAAAAAAUUAAAUAAUUUGAAUAACUCGAUUAAAUUAACUCAAAAUAAUAAUAAUAAAACAAUUUUUCAAAUUAAAUUAAAUUUUACUCACCUUUAAACUUCUCCGAUCUGCGGUAUAAUAUCUCUAAGCUUAAGCACCUUCUUCCAAGCCCAACUAUGUCAUUGCUUAACUUGUACCUGCCAAACAGAAUCUCCUUUCACAAUAUACUGCUCAACCCAUGCAACCUACAAGGAUUUUGACUUCACCUAAAUUAGCCUAAGACACCUCAUCAUGCAGGCUUUAUCCCAACUAGCCAAAUCCUUAACUCCAAGUCCUCCUUCUGCCUUAGGAUGACAAAAAUUCUGCCAACUGACCGAGAAUGACUUCCGCAAGGAUUUUGCCUCACCAAAAAUUAUAUCAUUCCCCUUUCAAAGAAAAGAAUUACAGAAUUGUGUAACUUUCUUAAUGACUUAAAAAAGGAAGAAUGAAGAGUCUACACCAAAAAUUUUGCAGACCGAAAACCACUUAUUGGAGAAGCUGAAGUCUAACAUCUUCGAAUAUGCUUAGUAAUCUUAUCCACCAAAACAUCACAAUCAUAAUUCUUCAAACUCCUUGAUGAGUCACUAAACUAACUAAAAUUACGACAAAGGCAAACGCACUUAUCGAAUAAUAAUAUAGCUAUGGUGAAUUGAGAAUAUCGUAUCCAUGAGAACUAAAAGUACUAGUACUUACUAUUUUUCUAUUAUGUAACUGAUAAAUUGAAGAAAUUGUUUUUAAUCUAAAAUUAACUAAACUAAUUAUUAAGAACACAACAAAAAAUGAAUCAAGAAAAUAAUCGAAUAAAACCAAUGAGAUAGACAAUACCCAGGAAAAAAUCCACCUAGACUUCACUUAUUAUUCUGAAUCUGAAUUAAAUGAUUUAUUCACUUGUAACUUGAUCCGUAGAAAUCUCUAAAUUAUGUUAAUAUCUCUUUCAAGAGUAAAAACAAUUGACUAUAGGUUGAUUAAUUAAAAUUUCUUUCUAAUUAAAACCCCUAUUGUCGCAUUAACUCAAUUUAUGGAUUGCCCUAUUAGAUUUGACUCUAAUAUAGUAGAUUUAUGUCGUCCUAUUUUUAGGAUUGCAUGCAACUCCACUCAAUUAUGCUAGAUUUACUUUGAAACAGGGGCUUUUGCUCCAUUGAAAUAUGCACAUUAAGCAUAAUUAAAAUCCUGAAAAUAUUAAAACACGAAUUAAGUAUACAUAAUUGAGAACAAGAAUCAAAUAUUUAUCAUGUAAUUUAGAAAUUAAAUAAUAAGAUUCAUAUAGGUUUCAUCUUCCCUAGGUAUAUAGGGAAUUUAGUUCAUAAUUUGGAAUAACAUCAUCUCAAAGUUAGGAAAACAAUAAGACAUAAAGAAACCCAAUAAAAUUUUUGAAGAAAUUGAAUGGAGAUCCGCUUCUGAAAUGAAUCUAAUGGCGUUCUUCGAGUCUUUUCUUCAUUCUCCUCUACAUGUUCCCCUAGGUCUUCUUCUAAUAUGUAUUUAUAAACUUUAGAAUGCUCGGAAACCCUAAAAAUUGAGUUUUUCCGCGUAACAGGGAAGUAGGGUGCGAAAUCGACACGGGCUAGCACAUGAGCGUGUGGUCAGCCCGUAUGGCUCACAGGGGCGUGUGGCCAACCCGUGUGGAAAUGCUCAGGCCGUGUGGAUCCUGAAAACAACUUUUUUUGCCUGAUUUGGGCUCUUUUUUUGCUCCUUUCGCUCCCUUAUGCUCACCUAAGUAUAGAAACAUGAAUUUAAAGGAUUAGGAGCAUCAAAUUCACUAAUUCACAUAAUAAAUCAUCCAAAAACGCAAGAAUGAGAUUAAAAACAUGUUACUUUUAUGGCUUAUCACUCCUCCUCACUAAAGGCAUGCACAAAUACCCGACUGGCAAUUUCUUAAGUUGAUUGAGUCAAAUUAUUGAAAGAAAACACUACUAUCAAGGAAUUAAAAUAUCCAUUAUAAAAAGUAAUUAGUGAAUAGUUUUGAAAAAUUAAAUAAAUAAAUUUCUUAAGUGCAUUAUUUGCAAAUAUUAACCUUUUGGAAAUUGAUAAAUAUUAAUAACGUGUCAAUAUAAUUGUAAACUAUAUUCUUGGUGAUAAUUAUGUCAUGUUCUUAUUAUGUAAAUUCAUGAUAUUAUGUCGCUUUUAGACCUGUCCAUGGGUCGAGCCCGGAAAAAAAUUUCGGCCCGACUCUUAGGCCCGGGCCCGGCCCGGCCCAAAAUAUGGGCUUAAAAUUUUGCCCGGGCCCGGCCCGGGAAAAAAAUAAGCCCGAGCCCAGCCCGGCCCGACCCGUUUUUUAAUAAACACAAAAAAAAAUUUAAAAAUAAAAAAAUAAAAAUAUUUUUAAAGUAUUUUAAAAUUAAAAAAUAAAAAUAAAAAAUAUUUAUUUAUUAUAUUUGGGCCGGGCCGGGCCUGGGCCAAAAAAGUUGAGCCCGAGCCCGGCCUAUUUUUUAAACGGGCCUCGUUUUUUUGCCCAAGCCCAUAUUUCGGGCCUAUAUUUUUACCCAAACCCUCCCAUAUUUCGGGCGGGCCGUCGGGCCGGGCCGCAUGGACAGGUCUAGUCGCUUUGAAUAAAUUUGUCAAAUAGCAUAUUUCAAUUAAUAUGAAGUAGCAUAAGAAAUCAUUUUACACAAGUAAAUUGAAAAUAAGUUAAAAGUGCAUAAAUAUUCAAGCAGUAGACACAUAUCCAAACAAGUAAAAACAAAAAUUUAAGAAACACGACAUUGUCGUCUAGCUGCCAUCAAAUUAGUAGUGAUGUCAUUACAAACUUUUGUCAUUUCAUUAGUACUCAUACACUAAACUUCUUGAGUAGAGUUUUUUGUAUAUUGAAAAUAUCUCCCGACAAUGUUGAUUUUUGUAGAUUCACAGUGGAGGGUGUCUUUUUUUGUUUUUUUAGAUUUACUUUGGGCUUUUGAGAUGAAAGUGAAAAUGGGAUAAUGAAGGCUACUGAUAUCUUGGCACCCCUGUUAGGUUUGAUAGCAUGCGGCAAAGGGAGUAAAUUUUUAGCAAGCAUAGUCAGAUAUGUCAUUCCGCAUAUCUCAUUCUCAAUCAAGUGUUAGUAAAAGUUGUCCAUUGCUAUGUAAAAUUUUUAGACCAAUAGUCUGAACAUCUAAAGAUUAAAGCCAAUGAGGUAUAAACAAGUGAUUUUGCGAAAACAAACUAAGAGAAAUCAAGUUUCUCGCUAAAUCUCAACAUUAAUUGUAAAAAGAUGUGAUAUUGUUUUGUGGUAGAUGCAUUAAUCUUUAGAUGUUUUAUUAGUCCGCCAAUUCAUAAAAGUUUGGCAUGCUCUAAUAAUUGCUCUUACAGAUUUAUAUGAAUCACUAUAUAUUAAAGUUUAAAUAAAAAUCCUUCAAGGAUUUAGAAUGUUGGAAACAUAUAGAAUGAUCUAACAUGCACAUAUAUAGAAGGAUUAUGAUCAAAGUUUUUUUAUGAUUAUUGUUAAACUCUUGGAGAUAUCAAAAUAUAUUCUCCAGAAUUUUUAGUUACCUAUAACUUUCAAAAAAAAUGAUGAUAUAAACGUUUAUCAAAUCUAUUUAAGUGAUUAUUUGAAAACUUAAUAUUCAAGAUUGAAAUAUGUAGAAUAUGAUAAAUUACGUGACGUUGUCAUUAAGGGGUAAAUAUGCGCUGUAUUUUUUUUCUCUUAACUAAGGUUUUGUCCAACUGAAUUUUCUUAGUAAGGUUUUUAAUGAGGUAAUAAGAUAUGUGUAUUAUAAAUAAGUGUACUCUUUUUCCAUCACUAAGAUUGUUUUUCUCAUAGGGUUUUUAUCUCAGUAAGCUUUUAAUGAGGUAUAUUAUCUACUAAUGGAUAUUUAAGAGGGAGUGUUGUAGAUAUCCAUCAAGAUCAAGAUAAGUUUGAUGAAUUUUAGGACUCAUACCUAUAAAUAUAGACUUUGGAGAGUAUUGUAAACAACCCAAUUGAUCAAUAAAAAUAGGGGUGAAGUCAGGAAAUUUUUUGAUGGGGGUCGGAAUUAAAUUAUAUAUUUUUAAAAUAUCAAAAAUGAAAUUUCAUCAUUUUACUACGGGUAUCAUUUAAUAUUAGGUAGUCAAUGCUUUUAUCUUAUCGUCACACUUGCUUUUGAGGUUGGGUUGAUUUGAUAUUCAUGACUAAAUUUAUGAGAUUUUUUUAUCAAUCCUUUUUUGUUUUGUUUCGAAAUUCCCGUAUUAUUUAAUACUAUACACCACUUUCAUCCUUCAAUUAUUGUGGUGAACCAAUGACGUCGAAAAUAGUAAAUAAGCACAACCGGAACUGUAAUUAACAUUUAAUCAUUUGAUUAAAAGUGUGUCUUACAUUGUGUGCUUUUAGCUAAAAAAAUUGAUUUAUUUUUUUAAAUAUUUUUUAAAAAUGUUCAUUUUAUUUAAUUUAUCUGGUAAUAAUUUAAUUUUAAUUUUAAAAUUUGAAAAGUAGAUAAAUUAAAUUUUAAAAAAUAAAAAUAUAAUGAUUAAAUUUUAAAUUUAUGAAUAGUACAAUAGUGACUGUGCUUGGCAUUAAAGUGGGGGCCACUCUUUGUCGCCUCCAUUUCUCCUUCCCAAGCAAUAUAAAUAAAGAAAAAAGCCUGAUUUUGGGAGGAAAGUUUGAAUGGAAAAACAAGAUUACAAGUGAAGAAAGAUAAUGGUUGAGGAAGUGGGAGAGCAUUUGAUAUUUUGAGGCAAAGGCUCGCUUAUAGUAAAGAUCCCGACGGCGGUGGCUAGGGCCAAGGAAGAAAGAAAAAAUAAUCUAUCAUUCCUUUACAAGAUAAAUAUAUAAUUUUUUUAAUACUUACUCUAAUUCAUUAUUCAUCAUGUGAAAAAUAAAUUCUUUUAUUAAAAUAGUAUUUAAAAAAUUUCAACUUAAUCUAAAUAUUAACUAUUUGAACUAACUAAUAAUAUUAUAAAUCAACCUCAACACUAGACUAUUGAAAGCAUUCCCGUCAUCUCCAACACAACGACCACAUAUAUCCGCAAGGAUACCUUCCGGCAAUGACAGUAGUCUAGAAGAUUGGUUUUCAAAUGUUAUUUCUUGUUUCAUUUUUCACAUGUGCUAACACGAACAUGUUUACACUACUCGCUCUUAGAAGAGAAACUUGAAAAGAAAUUAUUUUUAAAAAUAAUUUCUUGUGAAAGAGGCUGUUUUCAUUUUUCUAGGAACAAGGAAGAAAACAGUAAACAGACUUAUCAGAUAAAAUUAUGUUUCAUAGUCAAGAUUGAUGUCCUUUGAAAACAUCCCAAAAUUGUUCAAGAUUACACAUGCUAGUGAAUGCUUUUAUUCAAGAUUGCACAUGCUGCUCAUGGUGGGUUGAUUUGAUAUUUAUGAGAUUUAUUUAAAUCAAUUUUGUUUACAGUUUCAGCCUUCAAUUAUUGUAGUGAACCAAUCAUGUCAAAAAUAUUAAAUAAGCACAAUACAACAAGGACUUUAAACAACUCUACCCAACUUUCAGCGAAUACAUACAAGAGCGAUUAGUGAGUUGUCGGGAAAAGUUUGGCUAUCUUUUUACACAAGAUAGGCAGUGGAGUAUUAGGGGUUAGCAGGACUCGCUCUCUUCAAAAUGGAAAGUUGUUUAUUUUCUUAAAAUUUUAAAUUAAUAAUUUGAUGAUAUUUCAGUAAGUUUUUUUAUGUUAUUGACAUAUAAUUUUAGUAAUUUUUUUAGUCUAAACUCUGAACUUUGAAAUCGAACCUCAAACUAUUAACCAUUAAUUAUGAGGUUCGAGACUUAGGGUUCGGGGUUCGAAGUUCAAAUUUAGAGUUCGAGGUUUGGGCUCAGGAUUUGGGGUUCAAGAUAAAAAAUUACCAUAAUUAUUAUGUGUCAAUGACAUAAAAAAAUUUACUGACAUGUCAUAAAAUAUUUUGUUAUGACAUGCAAAUUAUUUUGUUUGAUACAAAUUUUUUAUUGCUUUAAUAUAUGGUAUGAAUUGUUUGACCAGAAAUUAAUAUAUAUUUUUAAAAUUUUUAAUUUAUUUUACAGUUUACUAUCGAGGAGGAGUAACCAAAUUUACCAUAGGAAAGUAGGAUAUACAUUUGAAUGUAUCAUCAAAUAGAAAAGAGGUUUAACAAGUUCCCAUUCUCAUAGAAGAGGAGUAAGGAAAUCACAUACAAGAUUGCGAUAUGAGAGAGUAAAAAAGAGAUGCGAAUAUAGCCAAAACAAUAGGUGUGGGGAAUGGAAUCCCAAAGAAGAAGCUGGCAGCUGGGAUCCAUGUUUAUUGUCAUUCUUGGUUAAGCUAUUGCAGUGUUUGGGCCAUUGAUUACUGGUUUGAGCUGUUGUGAAAUUGUGUGGAUGAUGAUGACCUUUCUCGGCUUUGCAUUUUUUGUCUUAAUAUUCUUCCCUAUAAUAUAUAUUUUUUAUGGAGAAAAAAAAAACUAAUCCUUCAAUUUUAUUUGGAAUUGUAGUAAUUCCACUUUACCUGUUGCAGAAGCAGCAAUAGCUAGAUUGACGAAGCCUGUUGAAGUUUUUCUUUUCAAAAUUAUUUGCGAAGGCAAUAAUAGGGUUAAGGUAUGAUGAAGCUUCAUAAAUUCUGUAAUUAAGCUCCCAUAUCUUAUUCUAAUAAUUUUUUAAUCAAUUUCUGCAAUAAAAUUUUAAUAUGCGAAAUAUAUCAUUUAAAGACAGGUUUGUGUUUUUUUGAAAGAGACAAGUCCUUGUUACUUUGUCAAGUACAUAGAGCUGAAGCAUCCACAACAAAUACGUAAUCAAACGUUAAACAUAAUUUGAAUGUGCAGCAAAAGAGAAAAAUAACUUCAGAACAAGUAAACUCAUAUAAACAAACAAAGAGCUAUUAAGAGAAGCAUCAAUCACAUGUAAGUACAAUCAACAAUCAAACACAAAUGCAAACUACACAAGUUUCAGCUUCAGAUUAUUACAUGACAUUUAUUUAGAACAUAAAAAGUUGAAAAAAAUCAAAUUAUAAUGACAACAACAACUAACAUCACAAGUAACAAGGCAAAGAUCAAACCCUGUUUUCCAAUCUUGAGUUUUCCUGCAAAUGAAGUGGCACGUUUCAAAUAUGAUUACAUCUGAAUUGCUACAUGCCCCACUUCCACCAAUGCCGUAGAAAAUAGGGUGCUACACAAUCCCAGUAGACAAUAUAUUUGCACUCCAACUUUGAGCAUUCAAGAGCCACAUCUUCACAAGGCUUACCGCAUUUAUUACAAUCAAGAUAGUAAUACUUCUUCUUCACAAUGAUGAGUGGAUGUGGAUGAUUUGUUUCUUCAUAGAUGCUCCCGAGUUUGAGGAAUGGAUAGCUUCCAAGAACACAACCAACAUGAGCAGAAGUAUCACAUUUUGUAUAAUGAUAAAACCAACGAUUUGCAUCUCGACUUUCUUCGCAGAUAUCACAAUGAUGACUCUUUGAAUAACUAUUAUCAUCAUUAUCAGUGAGUGAAAGAAGAUGGUCAUCGCAUUUGUGACGAGCUGUAAUUGGAAGUGAAAACCAUCCAAGAUCUAGCACAAAAUUGCAGUCCUUACAACAAAAUGCCCUGUAUCCCCUUGUUGUAUCACCACAAGCAUUGCACUGACCUUCGUAGUCUCUAUAGAAAUAGAGGGGGUGAACAUGUUUCAAACAUGUUCGAGCACCAGGAGUAAGAGCAAUCACACAUCGGAGACAUUUAUUUUCCUCACAUCCAGAACAUUCAUAAGCAAAGGCAUUAGAUAUGUGCCAACAUUCUUGACACUCAAAAGCUUUGUCAGAAAUAAGGGCAAAAGGCUCUUGGCAAUGAUGAUGCCAAACAUUCUUCAUCUUAGUUAACUCGGCACACGCUUUAUGAAGAAAAAAACACAUUCUGGACAGUAAUAAAAUGGAUCCGAGAUUGGCAACAUACACCCGUUGCAACUAUUUUCAUAUCCUCCAACAAAGGGACCUAACAUUAGAUUAUGCAUAUGCUUGAAAUGCUUUAUUUUUGUAGCUUCUCCAGCAUCGUUCCUCUCAAUAACACUGAUGGAACUUUCAUGGGGCAUCUCAUCUUCAUUUUCUACUAUUUCAUAUUAAUCUUUAUCCUUCAUUGUGUUGGUGAAAAGAGGCAGCAGCAAAAUGUUAUUUGUCUUGCUUGGAUAGCAAGCCUCGAGCCUUGCUGAAGAAACAAACUCAGAAGCAAGAACAGAAACAAAUGCAAAAAUGGAAAACAAAAGGAGAGAGUAUUUUUGAAUGAAAAGAGCUGAUAUUUUUCAUUAAAAAAUCAAGAAGGCAUAAUGCCAUUACAUAUAAUAGAUAACAACAACAAAAUGAACAAGUCAUUACCUAAUGACAUACCUAACACCACUAAAUUUACAUUGGAAAUUGUUAAUCAGCUUGCUUAAGUUUCUUUGCUGAUUUUCAGUCAAUCAAUCAACAAAAAAAAAACAUCAUAAGGUUUACCAACUUAGUUCAACAUGAACUAGAUUACAAAAUAAUUAAAAAUACAAUCAAAACAUAACAAGUAGUUAGGCAACUUCAAGCUCCAGUUUCUGCACUUCAUAGCUCGACUGCUUGCUGCCACUUCUCCUUGCAUGGCCACCUUUGCAUGUCUUGCAUGGGAACUAAAUUCAACACUCCUCCUUAGUUUCCAUGCUAGAGACACCUAAUUGCCUUCUUAAUUUAAAAAAUUUAGACACAUUGAGUGCCUUUGUAAAGAUAUCAGCAAUUUGCUCUUCUGAAUUGCAAUGAACCAGCUCGAUUUCAUGAGCUUGCUCCAUCUCCCUUAUGACAUGUGGCUUGAUGUUGAAGUGUUUUGUUCUACCAUGAAAGAUAGGAUUCUUUGCAAUUGCAACAGCAGAUUUGUUGUCACAGUAAAUCUCUAUUGCCUUUUCUUGAUUUUGGUUUAAAUCAGCUAGGAUUUUUCUAAGCUAUAUGGCUUGAUUUACAGCAGAUGCAGCAGUAACAUAUUCAGCUUCUACUGUUGACUGUGCUACCAGACUUUGCUUUUUAGAACUCCAGCAAAACAUGCAUGAGCUAAGACUAAAUGCAUAUCCAGAUGUGCUCCUCAUGUCAUCACAAAAUCCAGCCCAGUCACUAUCAACAUAGCCUAUCAGCUUCAUGUUUUCAGCCCUUUUGAACAAUACACCAUGAUCAAUGGUGCCUUUGAUGUAUCUUAGCACUCUUUUAGCUGCUUGAAAGUGCUGAUCAUUGCAGCAAUUCAUGUAUCUGGAUAGCACACUAACAGCAAACAUGAUAUCAGGUCUUGUUGCAGUCAAAUACAACAGACUACCAAUGAGACUUUUGUAUAUAGUCUCGCAAAUUGGUUCACCACUCCCUUGCCUCGAAAGCUUCACUCUAACAGCCAUUGGUGUGCUUGUUGGCUUGCAGUUCUUCAUAGAGAACUUAUCCAGGAUCUUCAUAGUAAAAGAACUCUGACUAAGAAAGAUUCCCUUUGCUGUUUGCUUCACUUCCAUUCCAAGGAAGUAGUUCAUUCUGCCUAAAUCAGACAUUUCAAACAUUUCCAUCAUUUUUCUUUUGAAAUCUUCCAGCAUUCUUCUAUCUCCUCCAGUCACCAAUAAAUCAUCAACAUAGAGUGACAGGAUAAGCUGAGUUUCAGCUUGGUUCUUCUUCACAUACAGUGUUGGUUCACUGGGACUUCUCUCGAAUUCCAAACUGAGCAAGUAAGAAUCAAUUCAAGCAUACCAGGCUCGAGGAGCCUGUUUCAAGCCAUACAAAGCCUUUUUCAGUUUGUACACCAUGUGUUCUUUGCCAGUGAUCAUAAAUCCUUGAGGCUGCUCGAUGUAGAUCUCUUCUUCCAGGAAACCAUUGAGAAAUGCAGACUUAACAUCAAGCUGAUGAAUGGUCCACUGAUGUUGAGCAGCCAAGGCAACUAUCAUUCUAACUGUGUCAAGCCUGGCUACUGGUGCAAAUGUCUCCAGGUAGUCCAGACCAUACCUUUGGCUAAAUCCUUUGACAACAAGCCUGGCUUUUAGCUUGUUCAGACUGCCAUCUGCAUUCUGUUUUGCUCGAUAGACCCAUUUUACUCCAAUGGUCUUCUUUCCAGCAGGUUUAUCAACUAGCUCCCAUGUCUGGUUCUUCUCAAUCAUGUUGAUUUCAUCGACCAUAGCUAGUUUCCAACCUUCAUCUGCCUCAGCCUCUUCAAAACUGCUAGGUUCUGCUAUUGCAACAUGUGCCCUUUCAUAAAUAUCAUCUAGGGGCCUUGUGCCUCUCACAGGCAAAUCAUCAACAUCCAUUUCAGGUCCUAGCUGCUCAAGUUCAGCUUGAUUAGGCACCAGGUCUUCUGAAACUGCUUCUGGCUCAUUUUUCUCCCAAUUCCAGCAGGCUUUUUCAUCAAAGAUGACAUCUCUGCUCACCUGGACUUUGUUUGUCAAGGGAUCCAGAACCCUUAGCCCUUCUUGACUGAGCUGUAGCCUACUAGAACACCUGGUUGAGCCCUUUCAGAGAGCUUGUCUCUCUUUGCUACUGGUAUUUGUGCAUAACAUAGGCAACCAAACACCUUCAGAUGUGCCAAGGAAGGCUUGAAACCGAACCAAGCCUCGAAAGGUGUCUUGGAUGCAAGAGCUUUGGUAGGAAGCCUAUUCUGAAGAUAAACAGCAGUGUUUACUACCUCAGCCCACAUGGUCUUGGGCAGUUUCUUCUCAAACAGGAGACAUCUGGCCAUAUCCAUUAGACUUCUGUUCUUUCUUUCAACUACCCCAUUCUGCUGAGGUGUGUAGACAUUUGUAAGCUGGUGUUUGAUACCAGCAUCAUUGCAAAUGGCUUGAAACUGAGCUGAAGUGUACUCAGUGCGAUUUUCUGUCCUUAUCGAUUUCAUCUUGCAACCUGUUUCUGUCUCUACAACAGUUUUAAACUUCAUAAACACUUGAGCUACCUCAGACUUGUGUUUCAAGAAGAAAAUCCAGCAAAACCUUGUAAAAUCAUCAAUGAAGAGGAUGAAAUACCUAUUUUUGCUAAGUGAUUCAGUCCUCAUCGGGCCACAUACAUCAGAGUGCACCAGCUGCAGUCUUUCAGUAGCUCUCCAAGCUGAAUUUGUAGGAAAUGGCAGUCUUGCCUGUUUCCCCAUCUGGCAAACUUUACACACAUCAUCAUGCUCCACUGAGCUGGUGAAGUUCUCUGCCAAGCCCUCUUUGGCCAUUCGAGCCAUUGAUCUGAAGUUGGCAUGUCCGAGCCUUUGAUGCCAAAGCUUGGAGUCAUCAACAGAGGCUGUGUAUGCUGACUUUGAGUCAUUUGGCCAGUGAACCUCAAAGCAUUUAUCAGUCAUUGUGACUGUCAUAAGGCUUGAUCCACUUGGAUCAGCAAUGUGGCACUGUUUGUCUUUGAACACAACAGAAUAGCCUUUCUCGAGCAAUUGAGCUAUGCUGAGAAGGUUUCUGUCAAUCUCAGGCACCAACAAAACAUUUGAGAUGACUUUGUUGCCUGUAGAAGUGCAUAUCAACACUUCUCCUCUUCCUUCAGCUUUUAUAAACUGACCAUUUCCAACCUUAACCUUGGUUUUACAGCUUGUGUCCAAGGUUUUAAACAAAGAUGCAUCUGGUGACAUGUGGUUGGUGCAGCCACUGUCCAAUAGCCACCCUUUUGAGCAUUUCUUCUCAGCAGCUAAGCAAGACACAGCAAAGACCUGCUCUUCCUGGUCACUACUGUCUUCAGCCACUCGAGCUUCAACCUUUGGUUGUUGAAAUUGGUUCUGUCUUGGCUUGUUUCUGUUCUUACAGACCCUUUCAACAUGACCCUUCCUUCUGCAGUGUUGGCACACAGCAUCUGGUCUAAACCAGCAUCUGUCUUCUGGAUGACCUAGCUUUUUGCAAUGUCUGCAGGGCUGGUCACUGUUCCUUGCAGCAUCAGGCUUAGGCCUGUUUUUCCAGAGCCUUUUGCCUUUAUGAGUAUUGGUGCUCGAGGCUUCUCUGGCUCUAGCUUGAAAUGCACCUUCCUGGUGGUCUUCAGCUCUGCUAGCUCUCAUUUGUUCCUGAGCAUAAAAAGUGUUGAUUAGCUCAGUCAAGGAGAUGGUAGCAAGGUCUCUUGAGUCCUCAAGAGAGGAUAUCUUGGCCUCAUAUCUCUCAGGCAAAGUGGAGAGGACUUUCUCUACUAUCAUUGCCUCAUCAAAGUGCUCACCAAGGAGCCUUAUACUGUUAACCACUGCCAUGAUUCUAUCUGCAUACUGCUUCACUGUUUCUUCUUCCUUCAUCUUCAGAUUCUCAAAAUCCCUUCUCAAAUUCAACAGCUGCUGUUGCCUUGUCCUCUCAGUGCCUUGAAACUCCUCCUUAAGCUUAUCCCAGGCCUGUUUUGGAGUCUCACAAGCCAUAAUUCUGGUGAAGAUGACAUCUGACACACAGUUUUGAAUGCAGGACAUGGCUUUGUGCCUUUUGGUCCUUUCAUCAGCAUGUUGCCUGAUCUGAGCUACUGUGGGAUUGGCCCUCAGUGGUGCUGGCUCAACAUCUGUGUUGACAACUUCCCACAAAUCAAAGGCCUGCAGGUAAGUCUUCAUCUUGACCAGCCAUAUGUGGAAGCCUUCUCCAUUGAAGACUGGUGGGGCUGUUGGUGAAAAACUUGAGGAAGACAUUCAGCUUUUUUAGUUUGAUACAACAGGUCCACUAAGAAUGAAGCUCUAGAUACCAAUUGUUGGUGCAAAGAGGCAGCAGCAAAAUGUUAUUUGUCUUGCUUGGAUAGCAAGCCUCGAGCCUUGCUGAAGAAACAAACUCAGAAGCAAGAACAGAAACAAAUGUAAAAAUGGAAAACAAAAGGAGAGAGUAUUUUGAAUGAAAAGAGCUGAUAUUUUUCAUUAAAAAAUCAAGAAGGCAUAAUGCCAUUACAUAUAAUAGAUAACAACAACAAAAUGAACAAGUCAUUACCUAAUGACAUACUUAACACCACUAAAUUUACAUUGGAAAUUGUUAAUCAGCUUGCUUAAGUUUCUUUGCUGAUUUUCAGUCAAUCAAUCAACAAAAAAAAACAUCAUAAGGUUUACCAACUUAGUUCAACAUGAACUAGAUUACAAAAUAAUUAAAAAUACAAUCAAAACAUAACAAGUAGUUAGACAACUUCAAGCUCCAGUUUCUGCACUUCAUAGCUCGACUGCUUGCUGCCACUUCUUCUUGCAUGGCCACAUUUGCAUGUCUUGCAUGGGAACUAAAUUCAACACAUUGCACACUUCACAUGGUAUAUAACAUCACACUUUGAACAACAGUAACUACCAUGCUCUAUAUUGACUUCAUCAUGGUAUAUUAGGCAAUCCAAAACCCUAAAAUCUUCUAUGUGAUGGAAAUAUGUGUGAAUAAGGGGAUGGUCAUGCCACUUACUUUUGAUAAUGCGAGGCAAUGAAAUGCAAUUUUUAUGGAUUAUAAUGCUGCAUGUACCACAUGUAUAGGAAACAUGAUUUCCUUCAGUGUCACAAGCAUCACAAGUGAAUGGAACUUGUCUCAAAAACAAAGUGAAUGGAUGUUCAUGAUUUGUAUUCUUAAUAACUUGUAAUGAUGAUUGUGAUGCACAUUCAAUGUGAACAACAAACUUACAAGGAGAACAACCAUAAACAAAUCCUCUUCGCCUUGGUACUUAGCAUACAUUGCAAGAGAGUCGUUUGCUAUUAAAUUGUAGAACAAGAGGAUGCUUGCGAUGGUCACAUGAUUGAGUUUGAAAGGAAGCUCAGCGCAUUUCUCAUGUAAAUUAAAUCCACAAUCAGGAGAAAAGUGUGUACACAUUGCUAAUGGUUCCCAACAUCCAAAGCACUUACUAACAUCUUUGAGUUUUUUAUCACCAUUUUCAGUGGAAAUCAAUGGAUCAUGAAGGGCAACAUGCUCAAGCUCUUUCAAAUUAUUCUCAGCAAUAUUAAGUGUAAACAAAGCACAUUUAAUAUGAAAGUCCAAUUCACAACUAGAGCAGUGAUAAACAGACUUGUCACCAAAUUCAUGGCAGAAAGUGCAAAAGUACGCUCCAGAUAAAUGAGGUGACUUUUGCAUAAGAAGAAGAGGAUGGUUGAGAUGAAAAGGGUGAUUAAGUUCCAAAGGUGCCUCGGCACAUACCUUGUGAAGAUAAAACCCACAGUGCUCCGCACAGUAAAAACAUGGAGCAGACACUUUAUCCCCACACCUGGAGCAAUCAGUUACACCGCUUUGAUUGUCGAUCAGCUGCUCUUGAUUCAACAUAAGAAACAGGGGAUGUUGGUGCUCAUUAAACAAGGUGAAUGGAUGUUCAUGAUUUGUACUCUUAAUAACUCGUAAUGGUGAUUGUGAUGCACAUUCAAUGUGAACAACAAACUUACAAGGAGAACAACCAUAAAAAAAUCCACUUUCUGUACUUCGCCUUGUUACUCGACAUAUCUUGCAAGAGAGCCGUUGGCUAUUAAAUUGUAGAACAAGAGGAUGCUUGCGAUGGCACCCAUGAUUCAGUUUGAAAAGGAAGCUCAGCGCAUUUCUCAUGUAAAUUAAAACCACAGUCAGGAGAAAAGUGUGUAUAAUUUGUUAAUGGUUCCUGGCACCCAAAGCACUUAUUAUCAUCUUCAAGUUCUUCAUCUUGAAGGGCAACAUGCUCAAGCUCUUUCAAAUUAUUCUCAGCAAUAUUAAAUGUAAACAAAGCACAUUAAAUAUGAAAGUCAAAAUGGCAAGAGCAGUGAUAAACAAACUCAUUACCGCCUUUAUCGCAAAAAUUGCAAAUGUACCGUCCAGAUGAAUAAGGUGCAUUUUGCAGAAGAAGAAGAGGAUGAUGAGGAUGAAAAGGAUGAUUAAGCUCCAAAGGUGCCUCAGCACAUACCUUGUGAAGAUAAAACCCACAGUGCUCCGCACAGCAAAAACAUGGAGCAGACACCUUCUCCCCACACCUGGAGCAAUGAGUUACACCACUUUGAUUGUGGAUCAGCUGGUCUUGAUUCAAGAUAAGAAGCAGGGGAUGUUGGUGGCCAUAAUUGUUAGACUCCUCCAUUUCUCCUUCCCCAAGCAAUAUAAAUAAAGGAAAAGCUCGACUCUGGGAGCAAAGUUUGAAUGGGAAAACAAGAUUACAAGUGAAGAAAGAUAAUGAUUCAGGAAAUGGGAGAGCAUUUGAUAUUUAGACGCAGAGGACAACUCAAUUAGCUAGUCAAUGCUUUUAUUCAAGAUUACACAUGCUGUUCAUGGUGGGUUGAUUUGAUAUUUAUGAGAUUUAUUUAAAUCAAUUUUGUUUACAGUUUCAGUCCUCAAAUAUUGUAGUCGGGAAAAGUUUGGCUAUCUUUUUACACGAGAUAGGCAGUGGAGUAUUAGGGGGUUAGCAUGACUCGCACUCUUUGUUCAUUUUCUUGAAAUUUUAAAUUAAUAAUAAUAAAAUUAUAUCUUUUUUUUUCUUAAAACUAAUAAAAUUUUAAUUUAAUCUUUUAAAAGUUACAAAAUUAAUAAUUAAAAAUUUAAAUUUACCCCUUUAAAAUUUUUUUCUAACUUUACGCGAAGAUAGUUUGUUUUUGUUUUUUCUUUCUUUAAGUAAAAGCUAGAUACUAAUAAUCAUUUUCUUUCUUUACUUUGUUAUAAACUUCACUUUUUUGAUUAAAUGGGAAGGCUAAUAAAAUCACUUUAAGUCUCUCUUUACUAUCUGAGAUUUUUUUUUUUUGCUGUAAGGAUUGUUUUUGUCAAAAAUAUCAAACCGAAAAAUUUUAUUGGGAGUCACGUUUUAUAUCUAAUGUAAUAAAUACUUCAUUAUUUAUUAUCGUACAUAUCUUAAAAAUAUAUAUAAUACAUUAAAUACAUUAAAAAAAUGUUGUCUAACGCAUUCAAAAAUAUUUAUAUUAAAAAAUUACUAUCAUAAAUAUAAUGGAUUUAAUUAUUAUUGGAUUGGUGAUUUAAUAUAAAUAUAAUUGUUAGAAUUAUGUGACCCAAAUUCUAAGAGAUUGCUUGCAAGUCAAGUUAAACAAAAAUAUAUUUUCUUUCUAGAAGAUUUAGUAUUUAUUAGUAUAAUAUAUUUAGCAUUUAUUAGUAUAGUUUAUUUGACUUACUAAUUUAGCCUAUAAAUAGGCUCCUUUACAAUCUUAGAAUUAAGAGACACCCAUUAGAUUAGAACUCAUAACACAUUCAGAGAAUUUUGUGUUUACGUUUAAGGGUUCUUUGUUUUUCGGGUUUUUGGGGUUUAGUUUUUAUCUCCAUCUUUUGUACUCUUCAUUCUUUUGCCAUUAUAGUAAAAUUAUCUUUGCCCGUGGUUUUUUAUCCUCUUUUGAGGGGUUUUUCCACGUUAAAUUUGUGUGUUCAUCUUCUCAAUUUCUUCUACUAUUUUUACUUGUUCGUUGCUUAUUCGGGACGAUCCUAACAAUAAUUAUAAUUAUUUAAUAUAUAUAAUUAAUAUAAUAUUUUUUAGGAAUAAAUCUCAAAAUUAUAUAUGAACUUUGAUCUAAUGUGUAAUUGUGUAUAUGAACUUUAAUUUGGUGUAAUUAUACACGUGAAACUCUAAUUGUGGUUCAAAUGUAAACUUCAAACUUUAAUUUUUGAUUUAAUCAUGCACAUUUAAAGAAAUAAAUAAAUCAAUUUAUUUUUAUAUUAGAUAAAUAUAAUUAUUUAUGUAUGCAAUGUAAUGACCCAAUAGUCACAGGUAUCGGAAAGUGUAUUUUUGGGUCUCUGUUUUCGGAAAACAGAUCCGUAAAUAUUUAAUAAAAAUAUUUACGAAGUUAGUUGUGUGGUUAAUUAGAUUUUGAUUAGGUGAAUUUGCUUAAUUUAAGAGUAAUUAGGUGUAAGGACUAGAUUGCAUAUAGGGAGAAAGUUAAAUUAUAGAUUAAAGAAAAGUGAAGGGAUUAAAUAAGCAAUUAAACCGUUAACAAGUGUGUGGUAUUGGUAAUGAAAUGUGUAACAUUUAAAUACAAACAUUUAUAAUAAUUAUUACUUACUUAUUAAUAUUAUUAUAUUAUAUUUUUAUAAUAAUUAAAACAUAAAAUAAAUGAAAGAAAAAAAUAGAAAAAAAAAAGAACAAAGUAGAACGAAAUAGAGAAGAAAAAGAGAGAAAGAAAAAGGAGGAAAAAAAUUAGGGUUUUUAAGGGUUCAAAGCUUAAUUGGUAAGUCAAUUUAGUCCUUUUUCUUGUAAUUUUUAUGUUUUUAGAAUCUUAGUAUUAAAUACUACUUAACCUAUGUUGAAAUUUUAGAAAAUAUUGAAUUUUUAGAUGUUGUUCAUGUUGAAUAAUUUAAGUAUUUGGGAUUAAAUUGAUAGAAUUUUAAGUUAGAAAUGAAAAAGGGAUUGAAUUGUAAAAUAAAUUAUAAGUUUUGAGUAUUAGGGACUAAAUUGUAAAAUUUUCAAAAUUUAGGGAUUUGAGUAAAAUUGGAGAGUUGAAUUUAGUCUAAAGUGGAAAUUGAAUUUAGUCUAAAGUGGGAUUUAAGCUUAAUUGUUUUUUUUUUUAAUUUGAUGAAACAAAAUAAAAAAGAUGAGUGUUGAAAUAUGGAAAACUUUUAUUGUAAAAUUAUUAAGGUAUUUUAAAUAAGAUUAUGAGUAUUUUCUGGGUUUAGUUACAUAUUACCCAUAAAUUAUCCAAUUUUUAUUCUUUAAAUUUAUAUUUAAGUCCAAUAAGUUUUUUUUAAGAAAACUCAAAUUGUAAUAAAAUAAGCAAGGGUUAACGUUAAAUUGACUGAUUUUAGUAUAAAAUAGUGAUUGUAAUUAGUGUUAGGAUUGGGAAUUGGGUUGUGAGCUGAGUACCAUGUGCCACUGCCAUGUCUUUUUUUCUAACAUAAUACAUUAAAUUGUUUUAAUUUUACUUAUUGAAUAGAAAUAUAAAUAUGCAAAAGAAUGUUAUAGUUUUAUUCUAGGAUUACUCUAUACCUUUUAAUUUCCCAAUUUUUGGCAGAUGUAAAUGAGAUUUGGUGGCAAUUCCAGUUAUGGAUUUCAGACAAAAGCUAAAGAGAUUCCUUUAUCUAAAUAACAAACUUUCCAAAGCAUUUACUUCACAAGGCAUGCAUGCUUACAUUUAAAGUAACUAAAACACCGAUGCUCUAUAUUGACUUCAUCAUGACAUAUUAUGCAAUCCAAAACUCUAAAAUCUUCUAUGCGAAGGAAAUAUUUGUGAAAAAGGCGAUGAUCAUGCCACUUGCUUUUGAUGAUGCGUGGCAAUGAAGUGCACUUUUUAUGGACCAUAAUGUUACAUGUACAACAUAUGUAGGCAGCGUAACUUCCUUCAAUACCACAUGCAUCACAAAUGAAUGAUGAUCCUCUUAGCAACAAAGUGAAAGGAUGUUCAUGCCUUUUAUCUUCAACAACAAGAUCUAAAGAUUCUGAUACACAUUCAAUGUGAACACCAAACUUACACGGAGAACAACCAUAAACAAAUCCUAUAGCCUCUUCAUUGUUUUCGCCGCAUAUCUUGCAAGAGAGUGGUUCGCUAUUAAAUUGUAGGGUAAGAGGAUGCUUGUGAUGGCACUUAUGAUUCAGUUUGAAAGGAAGCUUAGCGCAUUUUUCAUGUAAAUUAAAUCUACAGUCAGGAGAAAAGUGUGUAUACUUUGCUAAUGGUUCCCAACAUCCAAAGCACUUACUAACAUCUCCAAGUUCUUCAUCACCGUUUUCAGUGGAAAUCAAAGGAUGUUGAAGGGCAACAUGGUCAAGCUCUUUCAAAUUAUUCUCAGCAAUAAUAAAUGUAAACAAAGCACAUUUAAUAUGAAAGUCAAAAUUGCAAGAGCAAUGAUAAACAAACUCACUACCGCCUUUACCGCAAAAAUUGCAAAAGAAGAAGAGGAUGGUUGAGAUGAAAAGGGUGAUUAAGCUCCAAAGGUGCCUCGGCACAUACCUUGUGAAGGUAAAACCCGCAGUGCUCCGCACAGCAGAAACAUGGAGUAGAUACCUUCUCCGCACACCUCGAGCAAUCAGUUAUAUCACUUUGAUUGUGGAUCAGCUGGUCUUCAUUCAAGAUAAGAAGCAGGGGAUGUUGGUGGCCAUAAUUGUUAGACUCCUCCAUUUCUCCUUCCCCAAGCAAUAUAAAUAAAGGAAAAGCUUGACUUUGGGAGCAAAGUUUGAAUGGGAAAACAAGAUUACAAGCGAAGAAAGAUAAUGAUUCAGGAAGUGGGGGAGCAUUUGAUAUUUAGAGGCAGAGGGUCGCUUAUAGUAAAGAUCCCGAAUCAAGCACCGCUAUACAAAACCUCUUGAUUUUUUUCAUUGUAUAAAAGUAAUAAAAAUACAUUAUAUUAAAGUUAAUACAUAUUAUAACUUAAUUAUUAUUUAAAUUUAUAUUUAAGUUGAAUACUUUUUUUAAACAAGAUUAGAACUCAAAUUGUAAUAAAAUAAGCAAUGGUUAACGUUAAAUUGACUGAUUUCAGUGUAAAAAAAGUGAAUGUAAUUAGUGUUAGUGUUAUGCAUUAGGGAUUGGGUAUUGGGUUUGGAGCUGAGUACCAUGUGCCACUGCCAUGUCUUUUUUAUACUUAAAACUUACAAUUAGAAAAGUUUGAGUGUGAAAACUCAAAUUGUUAUAAAAUACACAUUGGUCAAAGUGAUUGUAAAUAGUGUUAGUGUUAUGCAUUAGGAAUUGAGUAUUGAGUUUUGAGCUGAGUACCAUGAGCCUGUGUGCCAUGUCUUUUUUAUACCUAAAACCUACAUCAUUUUUCAUAAACAACAAAAUAAUCUUUGUCGAAACCGUUUUUUGUUUUAAACAAAAAUUUUAGUUGUCGACUUUAAAAAUAAAGUUGGAGUCGCCACCGAUCCUUUAUUAAGGUGUGAUCGGCCCGCCUUAAAAAUUAUUUUGGCCUGCGAAUUUUGAGAAAAUGAGUUCGGGAGUCAGUUACGCACGAGGAAAGGUUAGCACCCUCGUAAUGCCCAAAAUCGAUACCAAAUUGAUUAUUUGAUGCAUUAGUGCCAAAGGUUUAAAAAGAUUUUAAAAUCAACUCAAACGAUGGAAUUUGAAAAAGGAUAAUCAAUUGUUCAAGUCAUGUAAAGAAAUCGAGUCCCAAUACGUUAGGGUACAAUUCAUCAUAAUCCCUGAACUUUGAAUAUCACUUUAUUUUAUGUGAAAAUCUUCAUUUUGAGAAAGUAACAUGUCACACCCAAUACGUUAUGACACAACAAGUUAAGUUCCCAAAAAUGAUUUUUGUACUCAUGCACUUUGAAUAAAGAAUAUCCUCGGUUAUUUAAGAUUAAUGAAGAAAAUCAGAACCCAAUAUGUUAGGGCUCAAUUUCCCUCGAAAAUCCCAAACUUCGAAUAUUGCUUUUAUUCAAAAAAAGCCUUUGAAUUAAGAAAAUAACUUUGAUGAAUGGUUAAAACCAAAAUAUAUUUUUAAAAGGGUAUGUUAAAAAGUUAAUGUACAAUAUGGUACAGAUACUUCAAUUUACAACAUAUACGAAUAAAUAUUUGCAAAUAUAUAUAUACAAAUACAAUAUAACAGUAAAGUUGCAAACAUAUGUACACAUAUAUAUCUAACACACAUAUAGAAGUAUACAUGCAAAUAGAAGGAAUGAAAUAUAUCCAAUAAAACAAACAAAAAAACAUGUAUUAAAAAUAAAAUAAAAGUAUAUAUAAAAAAAUGCAUAUGUAUAUAUUUACAAAUGAAAUGUAUAAAUGUAUAUGUAAUAUAAAGUAUAUAAAAAAAAAGAAAAUAAAAUAAGGAUGUAAGGAAAAAUGUAUGUAUAAAUAUAUGCAUGUAUAUAUUAUAUAAAACAAAUGCGCAUGUACAUGUAUUUUACGAAAAACAUUUUUUUUUGAAAAUGAAAUUCACAAAAUACAUGUUUUGUAAAAAAUAUGAAAGGAAAAAAAAGAAAAUUAUAUAUAUAUAAAAUGCGCAUGUAUAUAAAAAAAACCCAUAUAUGUAUAGAUGUAUGUAUAUAUAUAUACUAUAAACGUGGGUAAAUGUAUAAGAAUAAUAAAAAACUAAAAAAAAAUUUAAAUGACUAAUGAAGGAUUAAAUCAAAAAUAAAAGAAUUUUAAGGGCCGAAUUUAGAAUAAAAUUUUAAAAAAGGGGCCACUUGAAUGCGCGCGUAACAGUGGAGGACCAAAGGGGGAAUUAUCCUGUCCUUCCAAAACGCUGCGCAACGAUGGGCCCAAAUUGAAAUAAAAAUAAAAUCUGCAGCUCAAUUUAAAAAAAAACAAAACAUGUUUAAUUGAAACGCAUCGCAAAUGCCAGGGGCUAAAAGCGCAAUUGUACCAUCAAAAACAAGAACGCGCGGAUCCUCCCCUUCGGGUCGGGUCACCGCGCGGGUCUGCUUUAAUGAAAACGGCGCCGUUUUGAAAGUGUUACUUAAACACAAAAAUGUAAAAAAAAAAAACAAAAUUUGCUGCAGAAGGAAAAAGAAAAAGAAAAAAGAAAGGGUUGGCCCCUUUUCCUCUACUAGGGUCACCGCGAUUUCAUCGAGAAUGGUGAUCGGAUAGGCGACACGACGGGCUCCAAAGGUAAGUUUCUUUUUUAAUAUUUUCUUUGUUAUUUUAUACAAAAUAAUGAUGAAAAUAAGAGAGAAAAACAAUAAAAAUUUCGUAAAAAAAAAAACAAACGCGGUAAAAUAAAAAGCCAAAAUCACCUUUGAAAACAAGUUUAAUAUCAAUAUUUUCUUUGAAUUUCUCUGCCUCCCCUUUUUACAGAUUUCCAAAGGCUUUUAUAGCCCGAAAAAGACCAAAUACAAGUGCUAUUUUUACUGUUUCCUCUCAUUCGGACUCUUUUGAGUCUGUUUUUUUGCAGGUAUUGUGCGCACGAAUGGCGCACGUUGAUAGGUCGGCCCCGAGACGUGUGGCGCUUGGGACGUCUGCUGGAGGCGCGGAGGCUGAUGGGGCUUGCGGCGCUGGACAUGCGGCUAGGGUUUGGGUAUUUUGGGGUCUAGUUUAGCUGUUUGGGCUUAGGUUAGUUUUGGGCCUGUAAUUGUUGGACUGUUUUUUAAUUUUAUUUGGACCUGGGUCGAUUGGGCCCUAUUACAAUCUUCAUUACUCAUGUAUCAAUGUAUAUAUAUUUAAUUUUUUCAAAAAUAUUAUUUAAAUUUAAGGUUGAUAUGAGAAUGUUAUCUAACGUCUGGGCUUUGAAGGCCUUGUAUGUUCUUUUUAAUUAAGCUUGUGUUAGAAUUUUUUUUGUAUUCCUCUUCAUUUGAAUUUUGCUCAUUUAUUUUGAUAUUGUUGUUUUUUUCGUUUAUCUUGAAGUGAUGAACACAAUUAUAAUCUUAUAAUUUUUUUAUUAAAUUGUACAAUUGUAGUAUAUUUUAAUUUAUCAUUGAGGUUGCCACAUAAUCAAAAUGUUCUCUAGGAUUACUAUGUAACUUUUAAUUUUUCCAAUUUAUAGCUUAAAUUUUUGGUAGAUGUAAAUGAGCUGUUAUGGAUUAGCUUCGCUACCUAAUGCUUGAUGUAGUAAUAAACCAGUGGCUAAAUUAGGAGAUUUGGUAGCAAGUGUGUAUGGCCUCUCAAGUUCCAGAAUAGGCUGCACAGAGCAGCAAUAGGAGCUUCAACUCUCUAACAGGUUCUCAUGCUCCUGCCAGUUCUCGCAUGGCUGCCUUCAGUUAAAACAUGGUUUAAAGAACUUAAACUUAACAAGGCAUGCAUGCCUACAUUUAAAGAAAUAACACACAGAAAUCAGGAAAUUGGAGUCUGAAUAAUCAAAUGUUCACAGAAAUUCCAACUUAAAAUAUGCUUCCCUUACAUUUCAACUUCAAAUACGAAACCCUAGUUUGGAUAAUAAUUACAAUCAGCAUUACAUGUAAUAAAAUACUGUGUUCUCCGCCAAAGAAAAGUGGUAGUUUUGGAGUAUAGUCACCACAACGCCACCUUAGUCCUCCAAAUCUGAAGAAUUGAAAUUUUUAUCGUGGACACUUAUUAUGGACAAUGAAGUUGCAUUCAGUACAUUCCAAAGCCAAAUCUAAAUAGGGCUCGCCACACUUACUGCAGUUUAGAUAGUAAUAAAUCUUCUUAACAACAGUGACAGGAUGCUCACGAAGGUCCUUACGUACUUUAACGAUACUCCCAAGUUUAAGGAAUAGAUCUUUACUACGGACACAAUGAGCAGAAGUAUCACAUGUUGCACAAUGAUAAAAUCAAAGAUUUGGAUCUCAGAAGUUCUUCACAAACAUGACAAAAAUGACUUUCUGAAUAACUAUUAUCAUCAUGAUAAACAAGUGAAAGAAUAUGUUAAUCAUUUUUGUGUUGGGAUGUAAUAGGCAACGAAAAAUAUUUAUGAUCUAAAGAAAGGGUGUUAAUGUGCGAGCACCAGGUGUAAGAGCAAUUAUACAUCGAAUUGCAUGUAUAUUUCUUACAUUCUUCACAUUUAUAGGCAGAAGCAUAAGACAAGCAAUGACAUCUUUCACAAAUAAUUACUUCGUUUGAAAUAAGGACUAAUGGUGGUUGGCAACGAUGAUGCCAAACAUGCUUUACCUUUGGUAACUCGACAUAAACUUUAUGGAGAAAGAAAUCACACUGUGUACAGUAGUAAAAUGAAGCCAAGAUCAGUAACAAGCACCCAUCACAACAUUUAUUAUCAUACUCACCUACUCUAUCACUUAACAUUAAGUGGUGAAUGUGCUUGAAAUGUCUAUUACUGUGGCUUCUCCAGCAUCAUUUCAUUCAAGAAACUUGGUUAUGGAGCUAACAGACUCAUCAGGAGAUUCCUUAUCUUCAUUUUCUAGUAUUGUUGGUUUUUAACUUAGCAACAAGGUUCAAAAACAAUCAAAAUAAUUGUUUAAGUGUUUGAAAGCUUAAAAACAGAAGCAAAACAAGCUGAAAAAUGAAUGAACAAAGUGUUUUCUUCAUUACUCGAAUAAUAACAUAGUUGCUUACAUAAAUAGAUCAAAAUACAUAGAAAGAAAACAAAGCUUGCUUGUGCAGGUAACUAAAGGUUUACAUCAACCAAAGACAACCUAAAUUGACUACUAAAUCAGCUAAGCACACAUUUAACCUUAGCUGAUCAAAGCAAAUAAUGAUUACACCAUAGGCUAACAAAAGUCAACUGGAUAAACAAAGCUACUGUCGAAUUACACCAUGGACUUUAGCAUGCUUCUGCUGAGUUCCUGGUUCCAUGCAUGCAACGUGAGUUUUGCAUGGUUUCUUGCAUAUUGCUGCUGUAGUUGCCACCUUUGAACACUCCUCCUUGGCUACAAAGCAGCAAACUCCUAUUUCAUUCUUCAAAUACUCAAAUUUUUGAGCAGCCAGUGGUUUGGUCAAUAAAUCAGCAAGCUGAUCUUUUGAGCAGCAGUGAACCAAGCUAACUUCUUUCGACAUUUCAGCCUCCCUCACAAAGUGAUAUUUGAUUUUAAAAUGCUUGGUCUUUCCAUGAAAAAUCAGAUUUUUAGCAAUGGCAACAGCAGAUUGAUUGUCAACCUUAAUCACUGUGGCCUCCUUUUGAUCAGCAUUCAAAUCGCACAACAUUUUUCUAAGCCAAAUGGCUUGAUUUACUGCAGAGGCAGCAGCAAUAUAUUCAGCCUCAGCAGUGGAUUGAGCCACUGUCUGUUGCUUCUUCGAGCUCCAGCAAAAAACACCUGAACCAAGAGUGAAGAAAUAACCUGAUGUACUCUUCAUGUCAUCAGCUGAACCAGCCCAGUCACUGUCUGAAUAUCCCACCAGCUUUAAUUCUUUAGUUCUUUCAAACUUCACUCCAUAAUUCCAAGUCCCUUUGACAUACCUUAGGACUCUUUUUGCUGCUUUAAAGUAAGCAAUAGUGCAGCAGUGCAUGAAUCUCGACAGAAGACCAACAACAUACAUGAUGUCUGGCCUAGUUGCAGUUAGGUAGAGUAGGCAACCAACUAGACUUCUAUAAUUCCUUUCAUCCACUCGAUCUUCAUCACCAUGGCUUGAGAGUUUUUCUCCUAGUGCCACAGGAGUGCUAGCAGGUUUGCAAUUUGACAUGCAAAACUUGCUCAAAACCUUUGAUGCGAAUGCUUUCUGACUUAUGAAAAAGCCUUGCUCAUUCUGGUUUACCUCCAUACCUUGGAAGUAAGUUAUCAAACCAAGAUCAGUCAUCUCAAACACACUUUGCAUUUGCUUCUUAAAGGUUUCAAUUAGUUCACUUUUGCAACCAGUGACUAACAAAUCAUCCACAUACAAAGACACUAUCAGCAUGGUCUCUUCUUCAUUCUUUUUGACAUAGAGAGUAGGUUCACUAGUGCUCUUGGUGAACCCAAGCUUUGUCAAGUAGGCAUCUAUUCGAUCAUACCAAGCUCUUGGAGCCUGUUUCAGACCAUACAGGGCCUUCUUGAGCUUGUAGACCUUUUGUUCCUCUCCAUGAACCUCGAAGCCUUCAGGUUGCUCUACAAAGAUUUCCUCCAUGAGGAAUCCAUUCAAAAAAGUUAAUUUAACAUCCAAUUGAUGCACCUGCUAUUGUUUUUGAGCUGCUAAGGCAAAUAACAGCCUUAUGGUAUCCAACCUUGCAACAGGAGCAAAGGUUUUAAAGAAAUCGACUUCUUGCUGUUGACUGUACCCUUUCACAACUAAUUUGGCUUUGUGUUUGUUUAGUGACCCAUCUGCAUUGUUUUUAAUUCUGAACACCCACUUGACUCCAAUGAUCUUCCUAUUUUCUGGCCUAUCAACCAGUUCUCAGGUGUCAUUCUUUUGAAUCAUCUUUAGUUCAGCUUCCAUAGCUUCUUGCCAGCAUCUUUCUUUUGUAGCCUCAUUGUAGCAAGAUGGCUCAACCAUGGUUACAGCACAUCUCUCAUAGAUGUCUGCCAAUGUCCUGGUACCUCUGACAGGCAUAUCAUCAUAAUCAUCCAUAGCUUCACCUUCAGAUUCAGCAUGCUGUAGAUCAAGGUCCUACAAGUCUUCUUCAACUAAGCUUGCAUCUGUCCUAUUCCACUUCCAACAGCUUCCUUCAUUGAAUUUGACAUCUCUACUCACAAUCACCUUCUUGGUAGAUGGAUCAUAGAUCCUAUAACCCUUCUUCACACUACUGUAGCCAACAAACACUCCUGGCAUGGACUUUUUCUCCAGCUUAGUUCUUUUCUCUGCUGGCACUAAUGCAUAACACAAGAACCCAAACACCUUCAAGUGUGACACAACUGGUUUCUACCCAAAUCAAGCUUCAAAUGGUGUUUUACCCUUAACUGCUUUAAUUGGCAAUCUAUUUAGCAAGUAAACAGAUGUGUUUAAUGCUUCUGCCCAGAAAUUGUUUGGCAUUUUGGCCUCAAACAGAAGGCAUCUAGCCAUAUUGAGGACAGUCUUGUUUCUCCUCUCACAAACACUAUUCUGCUGUGGUGUGUAGACAGUAGUCAGUUGGUGUAGGAUGCCAGCAUCAUCACAGAUUUUCUGGAACCUCUGAGACACAUACUCAGCUCCAUUAUCUGACCUUAGGCUUUUAAGCUUGCAGUUGGCUUGGUUUUCUACCAAAGCUUUGAACUUGCAAAAGAAGUCAAUAACAUCUGACUUUUGUUUCAGGAAGUUUACCCAGCAAAACCUGGUGCAGUCAUCAAUGAACAGGGCAAAAUACCUACAGCCAUUCAGUGAGCUGGUCUUCAUUGGUCCACAGAUGUCUGUGUGAACCAGCUAAAGUUUCUCUUGGGCUCUCCAUGCUUUGUUGACUAGAAAAGGCAGUCUGGUCUGUUUGCCAAGUUGACAAACUUCACAUACUUCUUUCUUUGGCUCAAACUUGGACAAUUCUUCCACCAAAUUUAGUUUUUGCAACUGCUCGAGUGAAUUGUAGUUCACAUGCCCCAUUCUUCUAUGCCACAAACUUGCUUCAUCAGCCUGAGUUGCAUAUGCUUUGGCUUGCAACUGAUUUACAUCAAUAUUAAAGGUUCUAUCUUGCAUGGCUACUGCUAUCAACACUUGGUUAGCAACAUCCUUGAUCACACAGGUUUUGCCAUUAAACAAGAGGGAGUAACCCCUUUCCAGCAGCUGACCAACACUCAACAAGUUUUGAUCAAUGUCAGGCACAAAAAGAACUUCAGGGAUAGUUUUAAUACCUGACUUGGUGCAGAUUAUAGCCUUGCCUUUGCCUUUGGCCUUGAGAACCUCACCAUUUUCAAUUCUGACUUAGGACUCAAAGGAGGUGUCGAGCUCCUUGAAACUGCUUUCAUCUGAGGCUAUAUGAUGAGUGCAUCCACUAUCAAUCAGCCAAAUCUUGCUGACUUUGCUAGAGCUAGCAAAGCAGGAGGCUGUGAAGACUUGUUCUUCCUGUGCCUCAGUAUCCUCAGCAGCUUGAGCUUGAUUCUGAUGCUGUGACUGAGCUUUUGGCUUGUUUUUGCACACUUUUUCAAUGUGUCCAAGCUGUUUAUAGCCUCUACAUUGAAUGUCAGGCCUGUACUAGCAAUAUUUUUCAAUGUGAGUUUUUUUUUUUUUUGCAAUGAGCACAGGGUGGAAAUUUUUUCUUGGCAGCUUCCUUCUUCCCUCUUUUUUUCUUUUCUGACCAAGGCUUCUUGCCUUUGUAAUUGGAGCUCGAGCUUGAGCUCUUUCUGCUCUUGGUUUGAAAGGCACCCUCAGAAUACUCCUCCAUUCUAUUUGCUCUUCUUUGCUCUUGUGCAUAGAGAGCAUUUAUCAGCUCUGUCAAAGGAAUGGUUGAUAAGUCCCUCGAGUCCUCCAGGGAAGAGAUUUUUGAUUCAUACUUCUCGGUAGGGUUGUUAUGACUUUCUCAACUACCCUCUGAUCACUAAAAUCAUCCCCAAGCAGUCUUAUGUUGUUGACAGUAGCCAUAAUUCUGUCAGCAGACUGUUUGAUGGUUUCUGAGUCUUUCAUUCUCAGAUUCUCAAAAUCCCUUCUCAAGUUGAUCAGUUGUUGCUGUCUGGUCUUGUCUGAACCCUGAAACUCCUCUUUGAGUUUAUCUCAGGCCUCAUUUGGUGUGUCACAAGCCAUUAUCCUUGUAAAGAUGACAUCUGAAACUCCACUUUGAAGGCAUGCAUAGCCUUAUACUUCUUUGCACAGUCUUCAUUGUGCUGCCUUAUUUGAGCUAUCGUUGGAUUAACUCUCAAUGGUGGUGGUUCUGCAUCAUUUUGAAGAACAUUCCACAGGUCAUGUGUAAUACCCCCUACCCGUAUUCGUCGCCGAAAUAGAGUAUGAGGCAUUACCAGGUUUUACCGAAAUUUUUUUUUUCAAGAUAGAUUUAUCAUAUUCAUAAGAUAAUUUCAUCACAUACCAAAACCAAAAUUUGUUAGCCAUACCAAUGGCUAACCAUACAUUCAUUUCACAUUAACAUCUAAUUUACUAGCUUAUACAUGCCAUUGAUUUCCAAAAUAAAGUUCCUUUAUGUACCGAGAUCUUGAGAUUGAUAGUGUGAUGUGUCUCCGACCAAAUCCGACCUCCGAGCUCUUAACUCUACAAAUAGGGGAAAAAGAAACAGGGUAAGCACUUUGUGCUUAGUAAGUUCAUGCAACAGGAAUUAUACUUACCAUACUUAUACAUCCAUCAUUUAAUAACACAAGCACACAUCCAAUUCACAAAAACAUAUACCUAUCACAUACAAACUCAACCUCAUACAAAUUCAUUACAAAGAUAAAUGAUUGAUGAGCUCAUCAAUUCCAUGAUUUCCAUGUCCUUGUUAUUUUUCCAUAUUUAUCCCGUUGAACUAUUUGGAAUUUCGAUGGAUAUUCAGGGGUACACCUAAGUGUACAAAUCCGGGUCCGUCAAUUCAUAUUCAUGUGCGCACAUUUCCAUUUCAGAGAGCACACUCCCGCGAACCUCAUCCUUACAGCGGGAUUACCAGUCCAGGCUAAAUCCCCUGUAAUAUAAACUCACAGAGUAUUGUCGGGAUUACCAGUCCAGGCUAAAUCCCCUGCAACGACAAUUACUCUAAUGAGCUUGGAUCUGAAUUACCAGUCCAGGCUAAAUUCAGACCCUAAUUCGGAUUACCCGUCCGGGCUAAAUCCAUUUUCCACAUAUUCUUCGGGAGGGCUAUAUCAGGAUAGGAUCACCCGUCCGGGCUAGAUCCUUUUUAUAUUCAAUUCCUUUUCAGAGAUCCAUCGAAUUUUCCUUUCAUUCAACCGGGAUUUAUUUUCUCUUUUCAUCAAGAAUAUCAAUACUUCAUCAAUUAUCAUACAAUAAACAUCCAACUCAUAUUCACAUCAAUAACAAACAUUUCAAGCAUUUAUGAAUAUAAUUCAAGUUACAGAAACUUACCUCGACAAUUGUUCGUAAACAAAAAUCUACUAAUCCCGAACUUUUUCUUUUCCUCGAUAUUGCUUCGUAUUUGAAUUUUCUGGAUCUAAAUAAAUAAAUUUAAUCAUUAAUCUAAUACAUUUCAUGUUCAUAUGUAACUUUCUCUACAAUUCCAUUAUUAUUUAUAGUGCAUUCAAAGCUGCCUCACUGAGUCACAGUCACUAAAUUAUUUAUAUCUUGAGCUACAGAACUCUAAACUAAGAUCCGUUAAUUUUCCCUAAAACUAGACUCACAUAUCUUCUUACCAUAAAAAUUUCAGAAUUUUUUGUUUAUCCAAUAAGUACAGUUUAUUCUUUAAAUUUCCCCUGUUUCACUGUAUGACAGUUCUGCCCCUCUUCACUAAAAAUUAAUUAUCUCACUGUACAGAAUUAGGAUGAUGCUUCCCUUUAUUUCUUCAGAAAAUAGACUCAUUAAGGAUUCUAAGCAUAUAAAUUAUAACUCAUAAUCAUUUUUUUAAAAUUUUGAAUGAUUUUCCAAAGUCAGAACAGGGAAACCCGAAUUCAUUCUGACCUUGUCUCACAAAAUCUAUUAUAUCUCAUGAUUUACAAUUCCAUUGCUUACACCGUUUCUUUUAUAAGAAACUAGACUCAAUAAGCUUUAAUUUCAUAUUUUAUUCAUCCUCUAAUUUGAUCUAUACAAUUUUUGGUGAUUUUUCAAAGUCAGAGUACUGCUGCUGUCCAAAACUGUUUUAGUGCAUGGUGUUAAUUACCAUUUUUCCCUUAAACUUUCAACAAUGAUAAUUUCGUCCCUGCUCAAUUAACCUCUCAAUUGAGCUGAUUUUUUUCUCAAUCAACACUUUAUUAUAUCACUUUAAACUACCUUAUAACCUUUGGAAAUCAUAAUUUCAGUACUAAACUUUAAUUCCAAACUUUUUCACAAUUAGGUCCUACAAAUCAAUUUCUAUUGGAAUUACCUAAUAAAAUCAUCUCACAAAAGCUUCAAUUUCAUCCUAUUUCAUCAUAAAAUUCCAGCACAUAUUCAUAGCAACUUUCAAAUUCAUUCAUAAAAUCAAAAACUAAUGAAUUUAGUAAUAGGACCUAGUUGUAAAAGUCUUAGAAACACAAAAAUUACAAGAAAAAGGCAAGAAUUAACUCACUUGGUGCAAAAAUUAUGAAAAACCAGCUUGAAGAAACCCUUAGGACGUUUUUGGCUGAUGAGAGUGCAGAAAAUGUGAAGAGAAUUCUAGAUAUUCCAAUUUGGUCCCAUUUUUAUAUUAGUGAAAUUUGUUAUUUUCCCAUUUUACCCUUAUUUCAUCAAUUCUCCUGAUUUUUCUCAGCUUAUGCCGCCCAAAAUAUCUCAUUUUGGGGUUAUUUUCAAUUUAUGUCCCUCCUCAUUUCACAAUUGAGCUAUUUAAUCCCUCUAGUAACUUUUACACCUUUUUCAAUUUAGUCCUUUUUACUUAAUUGACUACCCAAACAUUAAAAUUUUCUAACGAAAUUUUAAUAUCAUAUUACUAACACUUCAUAAAUAUUUAUAAAAAUAUUUUUGACUCGGUUUUACGAGAUCGAAGUCUCGAUAUCUUAUUUUUACCUAAUUUCUUCAGUAAUUUCUUUUUCUAACUAACCACUUAAUCAGUAAAAUUUUUCUAUCGAUAUUUUCAUACGAUUUUUCCUAUCAUAUCAAUAUUCAUGCAAAAAUAUUAAAAUAAAUUUCUCUUUAAAUUAGAUUUGUGGUUACGAAACCACUAUUCCGAUAAUUUUGAAUUUGGGCCAUUACAUCAUGUACCUAUAGAUAUGUUUUCAUUUUUACAGCCCAUAUGUUGUAGUUUUCACCAGCAAACACAGGUGGAGGUGGUGGUGAAAAGCUCAUCUUUAUGCAGCUUCUAAAGACUAAGUAGCAAAGGUAGCUCCUGUUUCUUUUCUUUCAAGCACUUGACUUCAACAACCUUAGUCACAACAAGAGGCCCUCAAAGACAGUAGGCUCUGAUACUAUUUGUUGGUUUUUAACUUAGCAACAAGGUUCAAAAACAAUCAAAAUAAUUGUUUAAGUGUUUGAAAGCUUAAAAACAGAAGCAAAACAAGCUGAAAAAUGAAUGAACAGAGUGUUUUCUUCAUUACCCGAAUAAGAACAUAGUUGCUUACACAAAUAGAUCAAAAUACAUAGAAAGAAAACAAAGCUUGCUUGUGCAGGUAACUAAAGGUUUACAUCAACAAAAGACAACCUAAAUUGACUACUAAAUCAGCUAAGCACACAUUUAACCUUAGCUGAUCAAAUCAAAUAAUGAUUACACCAUAGGCUAACAAAAGUCAACUGGAUAAACAAAGCUACUGUCGAAUUACACCAUGGACUUUAGCAUGCUUCUGCUGAGUUUCUGGUUCCAUGCAUGCAACGUGAGUUUUGCAUGGUUUCUUGCAUUUUGCUGCUGUAGUUGCCACCUUUGAACAAGUAUUUUAUAUGAACCUUUAUCUUUCAUUACACACUUCACAAGGAAUAUAACACUGCACUUUGAACAAUAAUAGCUACCAUGCUCUGUAUUAACUUCAUCGUGGCAUAUUAAGCAAUCCAAAAUUCUAAAAUUUUCUAUGUGAUGGAAAUACGUGUGAAGAAGGCGAUAAUCAUGUCACUUAGUUUUGAUCAUGCGAGGCAAUGGAAUGCAAUUUUUAUGGAUUAUAAUGUUGCAUGUAACACAUGCAUAGGCAACAAGAUUUCCUUUGGUGCCACAAGCAUCACAAAUGAAUGAAACUUGUCUCAAAAACAAAGUAAGUGGAUGUUCAUGAUUUGUACUCUUAAUAACUUGUAAUGGUGAUUGUGAUGCACAUUCAACGUGAACAAUAAACUUACAAGGAGAACAACCAUAAACAAAUCCACUUCGCCUUUUAAUCAUGAUAUGAAAUUUAUGAAAUAAAAUAAUUUAACGAGUCUCUUUGCUUUGCGGAUUAGGCCAUAAAUAUCAAUACAUAAUGUGUUUUGUUAUUGUUUGUUUGCUCAGAAAUAUGUAAGUAAAUUCAUUGAAAUUCACUUGUGCAAAUCUCGAAUAUGAAUAUGUCUCGAAUUAAGUAAUUGAAAGAUGGCAAAAUUUUUCUACCGCAUGUGCAUUCCAAAAAAUUAUGGUGUUUUUCCAAAAUCAAAUUUUUUUGUUCAACACCUUGGACUAGACCUCCCUUAAAAAAUAUCGUUAAAAGAUCAUUAAUUCUUAAUGAAAUAGAAGUAGCAGUGGCUUGUUGGAAACCCAAAAUUUUUACUUGAUCCAAGAGGUGUGAUGUAUAUGUCAUUAUGAAGUAAUCUAUUAAUCUACUAAUAAGCCAUUUAAUGGAAGUUCCAUCUAUCACUUUAUUUUGAAAUAUCAAACUGGCUCGUUCUGUCAUAAGUAUCCUUAUAUUCCACUAAGUGAACCUUGCCAACGGGUUCGAGUCAAUGAUUGGAAAACUUUUUUUUUCUUUUUUUUUUUUGGUAGAAAGUUGGGUUAGGAAUUGCAAUCCUAAAACCAAAAAGACCCAAAUUCAUAUUGGUGUCAUAAAUUUUUUUAGUUUAGAUACCAUAUGACUGAUAUCAUAUGAGUAGGCCCGAAAAACCCUUUGUAUAACUACUUAAUUUAGUAUAGUUACUCAAUGUUGAUUGUUUUUCCUUUUUGACAUGGUUCGUAAAAUGAAAACUUUCAAAAAACUGUAUUUUUUAUCCAAAAUAAAGAAUUUUUUCCUUUAUACAUUGUUGUAUAUGUUUCCUUCACUUCUAUUUUCUUUGGUUUAUUUUUUUUAAUUUUGUUCAUUUUUUUUCACUUGAAUAAUUUUAAUUUUGACACUUUUACGCGUUUCAAAGUUUAAUUUAAUAACAAUAUUCAAUGUUGUUUGAACCAGACCAGUCAAUAUGAAAAGUGGUUUUGAAUCGUUAGAUCGAGAACCAGUACAAAUCAGUUAAACCAACUAAAAAUCAAUUGAACCACCAGUUGGACCAAUUGAACCAGCUAGAAACCAAAUAAAUCGGUAUUUUUUUAAUAAUUUUUUAAUUUGAACCGUUUAAACCGACCAGACUAAUAAAUCAAUUGUCUAAUCGAUUCGAUCACCAAUCCGAUUUUAGAAAACAUUAAUAUUUUCUCCCUUCUAAUACAAUCUUUUAACUUUUAAGUAUAAAAUAUAUUAAACAGAGAAAAAAUUGUUGACAAAAAAAGAAAUUUAUCUACUACUCUAAAUAAAUGUUGACAAUUAAAAAUAAUAAUUAAACUUCAAAAAAUUCAUGAAAAAUAAAAUAGAGUUGUUUUAUAGUAAAGAAAAAUAAUUAAAUAAUCUUUGAUCCACUAUUAAUUAUAAUGUGAUAAUAAAAAAAGUAAAAUUAGUUUAUGUAAUAAUUUAUUUAUAUACCAUUUAUUAAUAAAAUAUUUAAACUUACAAAACCAUUGAAUAUAAUUGAAUUAAUUACAAAUAAUAAAAAUUCAAUUUUUUUUCUAAAAAGUGUCAUAUAGAUAAUCAUAAAAUUUUAAUUUAUUUAAAAUAUAUAUAUUCAAAUAACAAAGUUUAUUAUAUGGAAACUUUUUUAAUAUGAAUAAAACCAAAGAGAAAGAAAAUAAAAUAUGCAAAGAAUAUUAAAAUUUGAGGCUAAUCUUUAUUUAAUUAGUAAAAACAUGAUUGUAAAAUUAUAUUAUUUUAUAAAUUAAAAAAUAAACACUUAAAAUCACAUUAAUGCACUUGGCAAUGGAAACAGGUUUGGGGUUGCAAAAUGUGUGCCUUCAAUAAUAAUUCAUCAAUGUCCUCGGUUACUUUCAUGGCCAGAAAGCUCUGCUCAUAUGAGUGUAAAUAGCAUAGUUUUGCCCUAAUUGUCUAAACAAUCAUUGCCUUUUGUCUUCACUAGAUUUCCAAAACACGCAACAUUUAGAAAAGUAGGCAUUUACCCUAAAUCUUGUGUUUCCAGCCAUUGCUCCAAGUCAGAAAUACUUGUAUAUGAAAAAUAGUUUUAAAACAUGAACAGAUUUAUGCAAGCACAUACUCGUGUUUGCCCAAAUCCGAGUAACAUAGAUUCAAAGUGAAAGAGGAAUGAGAAGAGCUACAGUGAAAGCACUGGAAUUACAGAAUAAAAACCAACAAUAAGCAAUCCAAACCACACAAGUUUCAACCCAAUCAAUUGGUUAAAUUACAUUAUUUCAACUUACAACUGAAAAGCGAAUUAAAAGUCUCUAACUGUCAAGUAUCUACUUCCAGAGGCAUAUGGGUUCAUACAUUUCCAGUGAACGAGAUAGUUGCACUCUGGUUCUGCACAUUCAAGAGCCAGCUCCUCACAGGGCUCUCCACAUUUGGUGCAUUCAGGGUAGAGCUGUAUCUUCUUUACAAAUGUGAGAGGGUGCGGAUGAUCCCCUUCUUUGUAGAUGCUCCCAGUUUUGAUAUAUAGAUAUUCACCGAGAAUGCAUUUCACAUGGGCAGAUGUGUCGCAAGUUGUGCAAUGAUAAAACCAGCGCUUCGGAUCUCUUUUUCGCUCACAAAUGUCACAGUAAUGAUGUUUUGAAUAAUCAUGAAUUUCAUGAUAAGUGAGUGCAAGAAGAUGCUCAUCGCAUUUGUGACUGACUCUAGUUGGUAGUAGCAUACAUGAAAGAUCUACAGAAUAAUUGCAAUCCUUGCAGCUAAAUCCCUGUUUUAUAUCCAAACCACAAGCACUACACCGCCCAACAAACUCAUAAUAGAAAAGAAGGGGAUGUUCAUGUCCUGGACAUGAUAGAGCAUCAGGAGGAAGAGCUUGACAUCGAAGGCACAUGUGCCUUCCACAUUCAUUACAUUUGUAGGCAAAACCAUUAGAAAGGAAAUCACAUACUUCACAUCUGAAAAUGUUGUCUGAAGUCAAGACAAGGGUUGCUAAUUGGCAUGAAUGAUUCCAAAUAGGCUUCAUCUUUGGUAAUUCGGCGCAAGCUUUAUGCAGAAAGAAUUCACACACAGAGCAAUAGUAGAAUGAAUCUGAGAUCAGCAACAUGCACCCAUCACAACAUUUAUUAUCAUACUCCCUGAUUUCGUCGCUUAAGGUUAAGUAGUGGUUAUGCUUGAAAUGUUCUAUUAUUGUGGCUUCUCCUGCAUCAUUCCUCUCAAGAACACUAGUGAUGGAGUUCAAAGAUAUAUCAAGAUGCUUCUCAUCUUCAUUUUCUGGUGAAACAACAUAAAAAAAAAAUGCAUAUCUAGUUGCACAAUUCACAUGGAAGAUGAUAUUGCAAUCUACACAGUAGUAACUUCCAUACUCUGUGUUGACCUCAAUAUGACAUAUCAUGCAAUCCAGUCUUCCAAAAUAUUCUUUGUGAAGGAAGUACGUGUGAGAAACAGGAUGGUGAUGCCACCUGCAUUUGAUAAUGUGUGGCAAUGAAAUGCAUUUUUUAUGGACCAUAAUGUUGCAUGUGCAGCAUGCAUAGGCAGCAUGAUUUCCUUCGGUGCCACAAGCAUCACAAAUGAAUGGAGCUUGUCUCAAGAUCAAAGAGAAUGGAUGUUGGUGACUUUUAUCUUCAAUAAUAGGUGAUGGUGAUACACAUUCAAUGUGAAUAGAGAAAUUACAAGGCGAACAACCAUACACAAAUCCAAUAUUUAUCUGUCCAGUUUCUUGGCAUACCUUGCAAGGGAGUUCUUCGCUAUUAAAUUGUAGAACAAGAGGAUGCUUACGAUGGCACACAUGAUUCAGUUUGAAAGGAAGUUUAGCGCAUUUGUCAUGUAAAUUAAAUCCACAGUCAGGAGAAAAGUGUGUAUACUUUGCUAAUGGUUCCCAACACACAAAGCACUUAGCAACAUCUUCAAGUUCUUCAUCACCAUUUUCAGUGAAAACCAGUGGAUGUUGCAGGGCAACAUGCUCAAGCUCUUUCAAAUUAUUCUCAGCAAUAUUAAAUGUAAACAAAGCACAUUUAAUAUGAAAGUCUAAUUUGCAAGAGCAGUGAUAGAUGAAUUUCUCACAUGUUUUACCACAGAAAUUGCAAUAACACCCUGUCUCUGUGUAAGAAGAUGGUGGCUCUUGCAGAAGAACAAGAGGAUGAUGAGGAUGAAAAGGAUGAUUAAGCUCCAAAGGUGCCUCGGCACAUACCUUGUGAAGAUAAAACCCACAAUGCUCCACACAGCAAAAACAUGGGGCAGACACC
Molecule: long non-coding RNA, 56222 nt
Filed under: Gossypium barbadense (sea-island cotton)
Lineage: Eukaryota; Viridiplantae; Streptophyta; Magnoliopsida; Malvales; Malvaceae
Description: long non-coding RNA (GBAR_LNC013864)
Source: RNAcentral